GGGCAUAUCCGUUCUCUAUUUAGAGAAAUUCUUAGAGCGGUGCAGUUUAUGCAUGGCGAAAGGGAGCAUUGGAAGGGUCUUAGCUCCAGAAUAUGAAGACGAAUGAAUAAGGAAGAUCAGAUUCAAGGAAUAAGAGGACAAAGGCUCGAUAGGAGGAAAUGAAUAAGGGGUCCAACGGAGCCUUCGGAGUACUAUAAAGAGGAAAGCCUAGACUGAUCGAUGUUCUUGGUAGGAACAUCCAUAAAUCAGGGGAGGGAGAUCGAGUUUCAAACCUUUAUACACAAAAUUGAAACUCAAAAUUCACUUCCUUCCUUCCGCAAGGCCGAUAUCUUUCAUAGCAAGCAAGGAUGAGUCCAUUAGGUUCUUCGAUUGAUUCGGAAAAGAAAUGAGAGACAAGAAAAGAUCUUUGAUGGAGAUGAAAAGGAAGAAUCUCAAAUAGACCAAGAUCCAAUUUCGGGUCAUUUCUUGGUGAACAUGAUCUGCCAUAAUCUCUUCGAUCCCUGAAUUUAUGUGCCAGAAUAAAGAGAGAUUUGGUAGGAAAGUGGAAGAGACCUUGUGGUAUAUAAUAAUGAGAGGGAGUGGGAAAGCUGCUGUAAUUCUUUGGAAAAGCCCGGUUCUUUUUGUCUUCGAGCUUGAAUUCCUCAAUCCACUCUUUCGUUCUUUCAUAUACCUCCCCACCAAUAGAUAGAGACAAAUAGGAAUAACCGAACCACGUCUACAAAAUGCCAGUACCAUGCAGCUGCUUCAAAGCCAAUGUGAUGCUCCUUGGUCAGAUGACCUAGAUAUUGGCGAAUACCACAUACGAUCAAGAAAAGAGUACCUAUAAUCACAUGAAAACCAUGAAAGCUAGUUGCUAAGAAAAAGGUAGAACCAUAAAUACUAUCAGAAAUAGUGAAGGGUGCUUGAUAAUAUUCCAUUCCUUGAAAGCCUGUGAAUACUAGAGCCAGUGAAACGGUAGCUACUAAAGCGUAAACAACUCGUUUUUCCUUCCCCGCGAGUAUAGCAUGAUGAGCCCAAGUUACGGCUGCUCCGAAUGAAAGGUGAAUAGGGGUGUUAAGAAAAGGGAUUUCCCGAGGAUCUAAAACCCCAAUCCCUUUUGGGGCCAAAUAUCUCUGAUCUCUACCGUAGGUGCCAAAGAAGAAUGAGAAGAAGCCCGAAAAAAAGCAAAAAGGAACAUAACCUCCGAUACGAUAAAGAGAAUAAAACCAUAUCGAAGUCCUAUUUUUACGACUUUGGUAUGAUGUUCCUUCCAACGUGGAUUCACGUAGAACAUCACGCCCACCAUACGAACAUGGUAUAUAGGAGAAAUAUGAGGCCCAAACUGAGAAGUCUUGCACCCCCUUGAAAUGAGUGCAUGUACAUCACACCUCCUACGAUGGUUGCCAAAUGAUAAGAAUGCCUUUGAGAUUCAAUCACAAACCACUUUGCCGGUUGUUAUGUAAACCCCAAUCCCUUUGGGGGCCAAAUAUCUCUGAUCUCUACCGUAGUGCCAAAGAAGAAUGAAAGAAGCCGAAAGAAGCAAAAAGGAACAUAACCUUCGAUACGAUAAAGAGAAUAAAACCAUAUCGAAGUCCUAUUUUACGACUUUGGUAUGAUGUCCUUCCAACGUGAUUCACGUAGAACAUCGCGCCCAUAACGAACAUGGUAUAUAGGAGAAAUAUGAGGCCCAAACUGAGAAGUCUUGCACACCCCUUGAAAUGAGUGCAUGUACAUCACACCUCCUACGAUGGUGCCAAAUGAUAAGAAUGCCUUUGAGAUUCAAUCACAACUUGCCCGGUUGUAUGUAAACCCCCCCCCCCCCCCCCCCCCCCCCCUCACUCCCACCCACUAAAGUGGUAAAGAAGGGCUCUUUGGGGUCUCAUUUUCUUUUUCUUUCUAUCUGACAGGACUAAAAAAUAGGAAGGAUGGUUCUUUAAUUGCAUUGAUAGAAGUCUAACUAGAAAAAGAUCUUGUUGCUUGAUAGAGCCCUGGCUUUUUGGAUAGAUCCCUCUAUAUUCCAACUGAUUUAUGCGUAGAGGCCGGGAAUAGGAAUCACUCAUAUUGCAUUGAGCCUUAACAGUCCGGAGGACUAUCCCGCUCCGUGGGAUUCUUUUAGCCUCACAAUAUUCUUUGCACCUAUCCAUCCACGCAAUAUUCUUUGCACCUUCGCUCCAAAUAAAGUAAUAGCCGCAACUCAAUUCAUUCAGCCUUCGCCUAGAAAUUCACUUUGCGACCCACUCCGUAAGCCCACUACACGAGAAGAAAGAAUAUCCUUAGCUAUUUAUCUUUAUUAUCUCUUCUCUGAGAAUAUCCUCUUAUUCUACUAUUAGAAGAAUAUCCUACUUUCAGUUUCUAGUCAAAGAAAGUCCAGGCGCAGGCGCAAAGAAUAUUGCGAGGUGCAGUCUAAUGGAUAGGACUGAGGCUCGACUGAAAGGAGAGAAGGCGCAAUGAAAUAUGCGAGGUCCAUAUUUCGACUGAGGAACUGAAACUUCCGCGUAGUGCUUCCCUUGUUCAUUGAUAGUAAUCCUGAAGUUUCUUCUUGGCAUCAAAAUAGAUCAAUGAAAGAGGACUAAAAAUAAGACGAAAGUACUUAUGACGGCUUUCCUUCCAACAAAUCUUCGUUCUUAGUUAUUUGAUUCCACUUUCAACUUUCUGGGAGUUGUCUUCUCCUAGGCUUUCUUCUUUCUGGCAGUCUUCUGCCUUGCCGUAGGGAGUAGGUUCAGGAGAACCAUAACCAUAAAUCAGAGAGACGGAGCAUCAAUCACGCAUAUUCUUUGCACCUCUUCCUUUAAGCUAUAUUUUUUAGGCUCCGGAGGCUCAAAGACAGGGAUAUUGUUGAAUACUAUUGGUUCGAGUCGCAGAGAGCAAAGAAUUUUCUCUUAAUGGAACUUAGCGCGAGUUAAUAUGGAUAGGACUGAGGUCUUAAGACUCCUAACUAUUAAUGGAAAGGACCCACGGAGCGGUGCAAAGAAUAUAUUAGAAGGGCAGACAGGUCCGGAGGACCUGUCUGUCCUUCGUCUUAAUACUCCUAACGUCGAAUAAGAAGCUGGAGGCUGGGUCCAGGUGCAAAGAAUAUUGUGUCCAUUAGAUCCAUUGAAUUAGGCGAAGGAUUUUAUCAAGCUUAGCUUUCUGGAUUCUUCGGCGGAGUGGGGCUUUCUCUAGUAGGUCUGGAGGCUCAAAGAAUGAUCGAAGGCUCCGGACCAUAAAGAAGAGAGUCGGAGGACUUCCAUUGACUUUUUCUUCCUUUCACUUCUAACUUCAAACCUUUCAUAUUCAACCUUGAAAAUAAAGGAGGGAGCGGACUAGAGGCCAUAAGUUUGAGUUCCUCAGAUGUAUAAAAACAAGUCCUCCGCGACGACCUAUCCACUGAAAGUAGCUACGUAGUCUUGUCUCCUUCCCCGCGUAGUGGGCAUUGACUUCUUCAUUGAUUUUCUUCUAUCUCCCACGUAGCGGUUGAAUAUGAAAGGAAGCCCACAGAGCUGAAGAUGGAGCGGGAUAAUAAAGAAGAAAGCUCAAAAGGAGGGAGCGGACCUCAAUGAACAAAGGACUCGUUUUCAUCCUUAUGGAAGAAAAAUCUCUUUUUUUUAUCUAAAAGACGUAGAAGGAGGCUCAAUGUCUAAUCUUUCUCUCAAAUCAAUAUCCCCCAGUGCAAAUAUUCCAGCAAUAUUCUCAAUAUGAAAAGAGCCUUUCUUCUUUUCUUAGAUAAAUGCGCUUCGUAGAUUAUGCUGAAGGAGGAGUGGGCCAUGAUCUUUGCUCCUUAAUUUCCCUAAUGGAUAGUCAUCUGGACCUUUCUUUUUAGUUCUUUGCGCUCGUCAACGCAUAUUUCAUUGCGCCUUCGCCUUCAAUGAAAUCCAUAAAUAAAUAAGGGUAGAUUUCAGACUCAAGAGGAGGGUUCCUUAUCAAUAUCAAUGAGACGGAUAGGCUUUCUUUUACAUUCCACAGGUCCGAAGGACUAUCCAUAUUAACAUGUCUGUCCUUCGCCUAACUAGUUCAUAUAGACCUUUGUUUUUCUUCCGCAGUCACUAAUAUGGAUAGUCCGGAGGACCUCCUUCAGCAUAAUCUAUGAAUGAUCGGAGCAAAGAAUAUUGCGGAAAAGAAGAAAGGAGUGCAAGCGAAAAAUAAUGGAUUGAAUAGUCCUUCGGACGACUACCGCACUUGGGGAUAUUGUUGAGAAAGAAUAUUGAAAAAGAAUGAUCGAAGAAUAUUGAAAAAGGACGGAGGAUAGGCUUUCUUUGAACAAUGUGGAUGUAUCAAAGAUUCCACAGGUUAAUAUGGUAGAUUUCAGACUAGUCCUUCACCUUGGAUCUGGGGACUAUUCUCUGUUCUAAUAGACAGAGGAGAGGUUCAAAGAAUAUUGAGAAUACUCGUGCAAGCGCAAUCAAUGAACAAGGUGAAAAGAACAAAAAAAAAAGGCGGUCGAUGAUCAGGAAGAAAAAGUCAAAAGUCUAUCCCAUCUUCUUCGUUAGGCGCAAAGAAGAAAAAUAAGGUGCAAAGAUCUAUGGCCCAAUUAUAAGGGGUCCAGAUGCACCAUAAGACUGGUCCGAAGGACUAUCCAUAUUAACCGGAGUCUUCAACAAGAUUUCCAACCCUGAAUAUUAAGCUACUGAGGCCCAAUAUUGCGAAGGAAGAACUGCGCCAUAAGACAGGUCCGAAGGACUAUCCAUUAGGGAAUGAGACGGAGGUAAGUUUGGUUUUUUGGAAAACUUGUUGGCGCGAUUAGUGCGUUUUUUUUGGAAAGUAACAAUUCUCUUCAUUUGUUUUCAGAAAACUUGUUGGUCCACGGAUUAGUGCGUUCUGCGCCGCCUGGUGUCUGCAAACAUAUUUUUCCAAAGUGUGUUUACCUUUGGUUAUAUGCUCCGAUUACCCCCAGUUUAUCUCAUCUUUAGUUUGCAUAACUAGUUUAGCUGUUUGCUUUUCAUUAUAGGUCAUAAAGCUUGGGUGUGACGUUUCAGCAUUUUCAUAUGCAAGCCUGCCAGAGAGGAAAAUGUUCAAAAUGUACUAUAGGGGAGGCAUACCAGUUGAAUCCCCGCCCAAGCAUUAGUUGUACUCUUUGCAAGCAACCCUUUUUCCUUGCAAUUGGCAGUCUUUAAUGCUUAUUGUAACGUCUAUUUCAAUGUAUUUCUUUCUUUCCCGUGUUUUAUAAAUAAAAUGUCCCUAAAACGCAAACGAAGGUUACGACAUACAUCGACGUUACCCACAACUCUUGGAUAUUGAUCGACUGACUUGUUCAUCGAGUUAGAACAAGUGCCGCACAAUCGUCCGUCUCGAGGUUGAAACGCUACGAUUGUGACAAGUGGUAUCAGAGCCAAAGUUGGUUGAGUGACAGUUUUGACAAAAAUAAAAUGUCGACUGCAAAACGAGCGAGCAAGACCCAUGAAGAACGGUUGGUGGAGAUCGAAGUGCAGAUGCUCCACCUGAUGGAAGUUCCUGAUUCCAUCCGGUUCUUGGAAUAGCGGCUUGAGGAUAUUGCCAAGAAAGCUGAUGGCAUUGAAGCCGUGUCCGGUCACCUUGACGGACUACCCAUCCAAGAGUUACUGACUAGAGUCGACACUCUAGAGUCCCGAGUUAUGAGAACGGGAAAUGUCACCUACGAGCGUGGGGACAGUUCAUCGGGCUCUGUUGCCCAGAUGGAAGAAAGAGUUAUGGAGCUUGAUAACUCGCAAAAGAACAUGUUGGAGAUGAUGAGCGGCAUGACAAAGGAUUUUCGAGCAACGCUGGAGGAGCCAUUCUUGUGGGCAGAAUCAAGAUUCCUAAGCCCAAGCCCUUCUGUGGGGCGAGAGAUGCCAAGGCGUUGGAAAACUUUAUCUUUGAUGUCGAGCAGUAUUUCAAAGCCUCGAACACAAUUACUGAAGAGGCCAAGGUGACGUUGGCAACCAUGCAUUUGUCAGAAGAUGCGAAGUUAUGGUGGAGGUCCCGAUACAUGGACAUUCAAGAAGGGCAUUGCACAAUCGACACGUGGGAUGCCCUAAAAGGAGAACUCUGUUCGCAAUUUUCCCUGAGAAUGUCGAAAUUCUGGCCCGACAGAAGCUGCAUGAAUUGAAGCACACGGGGAACAUUCAGGACUACGUGAAACAGAUUGUGGGGGUAAUGUUGGAUACACGCGACAUGAUCGAAAAAGAUAAAAUAUUCAGCUUUGUUGAAGGGUUGAAGCCAUGGGCAAGGACUAAGCUAUACGAGCAGAAAGUCCAAGACCUCGUGUCAGCCUAUGCAACAGCUGAACGUUUGUUUGAUCUGUCUAAUGACGUUCAAGAGACAAGACAUCAUUGAAGCUCUUCACCUGGAAGAGACAGAAACAGCCGACUGAAUUCUCCCGAAGCUGUCAGUAGAAAUAAAAGUCCUGGUAGAGACCGCAAGCCCUUCCAGUCAAAUACGGGGAACACCAGGCAAAGGCCCACUAGUCAAAGGACCUCCCACACUCCUAUCAGUUGCUACAUUUGUAACAGGCCACAUCGGACAAGGGAAUGUCCGGAUAAAGCGGCCUUCUACGCCUUCCAGGCCUCUCUGGCUACAGACUUAGGUGACAAGUUGGGUCAACCAGAGAAUGAAGGUGGGUAGGUGGAGGAAGUCCAAAACGUUAGAGUAGGGGCCAUAAGACUUUGUCGUUCCUUCAGAAGAAAGCGGGGGAGACAAGUGGUCGUACAAAAGGGGGCCUAAUAUAUGUGGACACCUGGAUCAACCGAAGGCAUGCAAAGAGCACUAUGGUUGACUCCAGUGCAACCCAUAAUUUUAUAACGGUGGCGGAAGCCAGACGAUUGAACCUUCACUAGAAGAAGGAUACAGAAAAGAUGAAGGCCGUAAAUUCUACAGCUUUACCCGUCGUCGGAGUAGUGAAACGAGCGGUGAUACAGUUGGAAAGAUGGAACGGCCUUGUUGACUUUGUGGUUGUGGGCAUGGAUGACUUUGAUGUAGUUCUCGGAAUGGAAUUCCUUCUCGAACAUCAAGUGAUCAUGAUGCCUGCACCAAAUGUCGGUGAUCACGGGAUCUACCCCCACCGUUAUGCAGAUACCCCCACCAUUAUGCAGAUAGAACUCCGGCAACCCAAAGGAUUGAGAAUGGUCUCGACCAUGCAACUGAGGGCCAUAUUAGGAAGACACAAGGCGUGUCGUGGAGAGACGUUGUGAUGGGAAACAGGAUAGUUUGCCCAUGUCAGAAUCGCCUACGAGAAAUGAUCAUCGUAUGGCGCAAUCAAAAUCAUCUGGACUCAGGAGACAGUCAAUGAGACUGUCAGGUGCAGGAUCCACUAGACCUGCGAGAGAUCCGUAUCAAGCACAAGACUUCUUACGGAAGGAAGAGAAUGGACAAUUGUGUGUCAACAACCGUGUCCUAAAGCAAGCCCCGAGGAGAGGGCCAACUUUUGAGUCCGUGAGUGGGACUCAGCCUGUUGAAGCUUACGCUAAGGCAUAUGGUCCUGUGUCAGGUGGCAUCCUAAUGCAGAAUGGACACCCUAUCACAGCUGAGAGUCAGAAACAAAGUGCCGCAGAAGGUAGUUAUACGAUGUUUGGAAAAGGAAUGCUGACCACGAUACGUAGUCUGAAGGAUGGAAGACAACAUUCCCAGGGGUCUACACAUGGAAGAGAGACGAACAACAUUGCGACCAACCGCUUUGAUACUCGGCCGAAGUGGGCUUUGAGUCAAGAAAAGUGGCAGAGGGACGUGUCAAGGAAUCCUUGCAGAAAAACUCUGUCAUUGAAGUUGAUGUAAGUCUGGCGGAGACCAGUCAGGUGGAAGAAAAGAAUGGAGUUCAAUUGUGGAAGCUAACCCAAUCUUAUGUUAAUGCUGCAAUGAGUUCGUCAAUGGAUGGAAACCAGUUUGUGGGUAUUUGUGGCGGACAUUCUGUACAGUCCCUUGUUGGUCCCUCCUAUGUUGGUAAGAAUCCUCAAGCUUGCAACAGUACCAAGAGGUGGAAGCUGGAGUCAGACAUCGUUCGGACCGAUCGAGAGGAAGCCUCGAAGUGGCCAGAAAAGUGGGCAGAUAAGAAGCAUCGCCUCCGUGUUGGGGGAGACCAGGUCAUCGUCAAACGGCGAUCUGAACUGACUCAGUUUUUGAAGAAGACUUCAAGAUCACCGCCUCGUGAGAGAACGCGAGGGACAAACAGAAGUUCAAGAAGUCCUUGCUAAAGAAGCAAGGAAAAGAAGAAGACCCAUGGGGGGAUACACAAGUUCGUGGUGAAGCAGAGGAGCCUCCUCAUGGAAGAAGCCUGUGGAAGACGUACCAAGACUGUGAAGCGUGGAGGUAGAAGAUCGAAGGAUUCCAGCUUUGCCAGUCGACGGGGACGUCAACUGUUUAAGUGGGGGAGUGUGUCACGGACAUAUUUUUCCAAAGUGUGUUUACCUUUGGUUAUAUGCUCCGAUUACCCCUAGUUUAUCUCAUCUUUAGUUUGCAUAACUAGUUUAGCUGUUUGCUUUUCAUUCUAGGUCAUAAAGCCUUGGUGUGCGUUUCGACAUUUUCAUAUGCAAGCCUGCCAUAGAGGAAAAUGUUCAAAAUGUACUAUAGGGGGGCAUACCAGUUGAAUCCCCGCCCAAGCAUUAGUUAUACUCUUUGCAAGCAACCCUUUUUCCUUGCAAUUGACAGUCUUUAAUGUUUUAUCGUUAUUUCAAUGUAUUUCUUUCUUUCCCGCGUUUUAUAAACAAAAUUUCCCUAAAACGCAAACGAAGGUUACGACAUACAUCGACGUUACCCACAACUCUUGGAUAUUGAUCGGCUUACUUGUUCAUCGAGUUAGAACAAGUGUCGCACAAUCGUCCGUCUCGAGGUUGAAACGCUACGAUUGUGACACCCGGCAGCCACAUAGAAUUGAGAAAAGCCUAUGGUUGAGGCAGCAUUAAUUUAUGAAACUUUACACGUGGGAAGAGAUGACUCUUUCUAUUCAAACCUGUAAACAUAGAAGACCGCCUCAAUGAACAAGGGAUCAUUCACAUAGAAUAAAUAUGAACAACGAGAAAGGGAAUAUAAGGUUUGAAUUCAGAGGAAAGCCUAGCUUGAAUGAACAAGGUGAAAAGAAUAUUGACAGCUGCACUUACGAGUCUUUCAGUUACCUUUCUGCCUCUUUAAAGAGUUCAAGGUUUUCUAUUAUCGGAAGAAUCAGAAUAAGAAGAAAAUAGAGAGAGAAGAGAGCUCAGGAGGCGCAAUGAAAUAUGCGUGAGAAGCGCAUUUCCUUAGUGGAAUACUUUGAUAGCGGAAUAAGAAGUCGGAGGCUCGGUCAAGACGAUCUUUUGAUCUAUUCUAAUGGUUCUAAUGGAUAGUCCUUCGUUUUAGAGUCCUACAGAUAAAUCCUCCGGACUGGUCCGAAGGCUAGGUUCAUACGGAUAGUCAGGACGGUUAGUUGGAGCCUUGUUUUUCGAAAUCUUCUUUGAGCCUCAGUCGUCUCAUUGAUAAGGACAUCUUUGCAAAUGAAGAGCGGGAGGUGCAAAGUGCGGCUAUUACUUUGAAAAGAAUAGGAGCUCCGCGGUUUGAAUUGAAUAAAAAGGAUAGGCUGAAAUUCAAAGUGAAUAAGAGGAUAUUUUCAGACAUAAUAUCUAAAGUCAAUGAACAGGGCUCCUAACCUGAUUUAUGGGGAGCCUACUACGUCCAUUAGUUCCGAACUUGGCUCCACUCCUAGUAGUUCGAACUUGGCUUUGCUCCUUCGCUUUUUCUCUUAUUGAUCUCUCUUGUAAUGCUUUCUACUAAGAAUCAAGAAAGCGCAACUUCUAUUGUUCGAACGACCUUGAUUAAAAAACGAUGCUUCCUUGGUCGUGUAGAACAUGGAUUAGCAUUAUUUCAUUCCUACAAGCGAUCCCCCAUCCAGGAUUGGAAGAAGUGCUAUAUGAGGACUUUGAGAUCAAAUAGAAUAUAUUUCUUUCAAGACCUCGUGAGCCACUUAUUUCUCCGAAACAAGAGAGAAAAGUGAUUUUCCUCCUUUUUCUCAAUAAGUCGACGACCUUACACCAUUGGGAUACUUCUUUGAAACUAGAGUACAUAUAGGAUACACCGGUGCUAAAACCUUUUCUCAAAAGAUCUUCCAAACUGUUGGGGUCCUUGCUCCGUAUGUUCUUCCCCCGGUGUGAAAGCAGUUGGUUCCAUAGUUUGAGAAUUCUACUGAUCCCAAGUACUCCAUCUCCAUCAUUGCAUAGGGAAUAUAGAAAGUCAAGAAGAAAAGGCAUGAGCAGAAGAAUUGUGUGAAAUAAGUCAAUUUAUCCAAUUGAGGCAUUCUUUCUUUUUCUUAAGAAAAUUCCCUCUAGACAUAAAUCCUUUCUGUACGAGUAGUGAAGAACUAUAGAGAGCAGUGGUUGGUUGUUGACCAACGAAAAGCAUGGGAGAAAGAAAGAUGUUGGCAAGGAAGCAUCAAAAUAGAUCAAUGAAAGAGGCUCAAAGAAUGAUCGAGGACUAUUUUAGUCCGACUAGAAACUAGGGAAACUAAAGACUAACGAAAUCUAGAUGAGAAUCCGUACAAUUAGUCUCGAGAAAAAGAAGAAAGCAAUAAAAAAAGUGAAGACAGAAAAUGAACCGAAAAUCUUCUUCUCUCAUAUUGAAUUCAUCCUUCUACGCAUCUCCAUGGGCUCGACUGAGAGUGGAGGAGAGGACGGGAAGAAUGAGAAAAAUAGUAAGGCGAGAAGACAGGUUCGAAGGACUAUCCAUCAGGGAGUUUGGACCCCGUAGUUAGGAGCAAAGAAUAUUGCGAAAGAGUCAUAAUAGGUACAAAUCUUCUUAGAUUAUGUUGAAGGAGGCGGCGCAAUUCAAUAAGCGAAAGUCAUGAUCCCUUUAAAGCAGACGUUAGGCGCAAAGAAAGAAGCUCAUUAACGAGAAUGAAAGAAUAAUUCACUCAUUAACGAGAAUGAAAGAAUAAUUCACUCAUUAACGAUAAUGAAAGAAUAAUUCUGAUUUCAUCACCUUGUUUUUACGGAGUUCAAUACUAGAUUGAAGACGGAGGGAAAUCCCAGAUUUUGCUAGGUUUUGGGCCUAUAAAGUAGCAAGAAAUCAUGAAAAAUCAGUCAAAAUUAGACAAUUAUCGUAGCAUAUCAAUAUGAGAAAAAGUAUGAAAAAGAAGCAAAAAAGUCGGAAAAUAGCAAUUCAAGAAGAAAGCCUAGGACAGGGAAAAGAAAUGAACACUUCUAGUUUGAGUUUAUGGUCCGGAUACUGACAGGUCUAUUCAUUAUUCCGCUCCUGAAUAUGGAUAAUCCUACUUCGGUUAAUUACGGAUAGUCCUCCUUCGGUUAAUUACAGAUGGUCCUACGGAUAAAUCCUCCAGACUACUUCAAUUAAUUACGGAUGGUCCUACUUCCAUAUGGAUAGUCGUACUUCAAAUGGAUAGUCCUCCGGAUAAAUCCUGCGGACGUAGGACCUUGGACCUUUCUUUCUUUAAUGGAUAGUCCUCCGGAUAAAUCCUGCAGACUGCGUAGGACCCUGGACCUUUCUUUGGCACUCCGGACGGAUAAAGAAAGGAUAAAUAAAGGCGCAAAGAAUAUUGCGAAGUGAAGCGCAUUUAUCUAAGAAAAGAAGAAAGGAUAAAUAAAGGCGCAAAGAAUAUUGCAAGAGCGGGAAUUACCUUUUCUCUUCGGGUUAGCUAAGAGUUGUCGGAGGCUUGAAGUCGAAUAAUUACUUUUACUUAAAGGUUUCACAAACCUGCAAAAUCUUCUCCAAAUUAGCGUUAGCGUUCUGAGCUAGCCAAGCAGUAUAUUUAAAAUAUAGAAAGAAAAAAAUCCAUGCAAUCCAAGUACACUAAGAACCUACAGCAUCGUCACGCUGCGUGCGGAAGGUUAAUUCUUCUAACUCUGGUAUUAUCGUUGAACAAGCAGUUCACAUUCGACUGCCCACGUAGUGGGGGAAGCUCGCUCGCUAACUUUGCACUUCGGCCAAAAUGCCGAAAAAAGGCUAAGGCCGAAGGAGGUCUGCUCCUUCGCUCAAGGAAAAAUUGCCCGAUUGAAUAUAUAUCUUGGAGCAGAGAGAGGAAAGGAUGACGGAAGCCUCAGUCUCAGUACGAAAGGGGCAAAAAGCUGGAAAAGGCAUACUGGCUUCACCUUGCCCUAGGAUGGGGUCCGUCGGAUCUUUUAAGGCAUAAGCUUAAUGCUGAGACGCACGGGGAUAUCCGGUCAAGGAUGGAUAUUCAAGACAAGGACGAAGGCUCUCCUUCACGCAAGAUGAUUACAAGUCUUAGGAGUGAACUUCCGCUUUACCCUUGUGGUAUCAUGAAGCGAAGGGCAGAGAAAGCGAGCGAGAAAACAUAAAUCAAGGCGGUCGUUGACUUAAAAUAGGCAAAAAGAAAAGACAGAGAGCCUACAGGUUUCUCGAUUUACCCUUCUUCUAGGAUAGAAAAAGGCACUGCCUGUGUGACCACUACAAGCAGACGUGACGAGCGAUGCAGGGCCACCCACGACCGCUAGCAAUACGAGGUAAAGCGGCCAGAAAGCAUACCAUAGGAUGCGUCCUGAGGGUAUUCACAUAAACAUUCUUCGAAUUGUUCACAUUCGGCGGGAUGUUCUUAGCCUUGUCUCCAAGUGAAUAAUUGAAUCGGCACCGACACGAUCGGACCUAUUGCAGCCUUCGGUUGACUGGUGGCAUUCGAUGGUAUGCUUUGAGGCCUUCCCAACCUGCUCCGUGUAAAAAGGUAGAAGGAGGCUCAAAGAAUUAUCGAAGAGCGAGACGAAAGAAAAUAGCGACUUCCAGUCGGUGAUGGGAUAUCUCAAUGUUAUCGCAGAUUCAAAGGCGCAAAGAAUAUUGCAUUGAGGCUCGACUGAAAGGAGAGGCGAAUUUGAGAAGAAAGAACUAUAUCGGAUAAAUACUCAACUGCCUCAGACGUCACUGGGACAAGAGCCGGAGAUUCUGAAACCUCUCGCAGCUUCUUUGCUUCCUUUGGUCUCGAUAUUUGAACCGCCUCAAUAAACAAUAAAUAAGGGUCCAAAAAAUCAAGGUCAUCUGAAACCCUUUUUUUUAUGCGCCUCAGUCCUAUCCAUUAGAACGCCGGCCCUCACCCUUUUUCUUCUUAGUGAGAGCUUGAGCUUUAGUCUUCCGAGUUCUCAAAUUCUUUGACCCUCUGUCUCAGUAUUCGGCAGAGAUGCUGAUGUUAACAAUAAAUGCAGGCUGAAUGUUGUAUGGAAGGAUGAUCAUUUCGGCUUCUUGUAGCCAUUGAUGUUGUCUAAUGCUUGGAGAGACAUUGUUUAAUGUGACUUUGGACAAGGUUACUGAAGAUAGAACUAUCUGGCUUUAGGUCAGUUUUCAGUUGCUAAGACAGUGAAGCUCUUUCAUCUUCCUGGUAAUACUGUCCCUUGGUUCAAGCUUCUUUGGGGUAAGAAGCACAUCCCUAGUCAUGCUUUUCUUUCGUGGAUGGCUAUGAAUAAGAGUCUGAGAGUCAAAGCUAAACUGUACAAUCUUUAAGUGCUUUCGUCUUAUUUUGAGGUUUGGAAGCAAAGAAGCAGAGCGGAGUUUGAUUCCUUAUAUCAGAAAAAGAUAUAGGAAGACUCCCAGAAAGAAGAAAGCCUAGGAGCAAGCAAAGAAAGAGUAAGGAUCAGAAAGCUCCUAACCCCUAUUUAUUUAUGGAUGUGAAUUGAGCGAAGGCGCAAAGAAUAUUGCGAAGGUUAAAGAAUAUUGACUUGAUAAACCUCUAUUUAGCUUCUUAUAUCUGAAGACGAUAAAGUCAGAUAAUCAGCCUCCGGCUGGGUCGGAUCGUCCAUACCUAGUUGAGUAUCUCUGUCCGUCAUAACGAAUUCACUCUUUGAAAAAGGGUCGGGCUUUGUUGGAGUUGACUCGGUGAGUACACUUUCAUCUUUACGAGAAGAAGCGCGAACAACAACUAUAUUAUUCAGCGACAGACCUGAUUUACCCGAUGAGUGGAAUGACUCGACAAAAGUCUUAGGACUCGGGACAGACGCGCCUCCUUCCUGCUAGAACUCAUAGGUCUACGGGGUUCUUUCGGUAGCGAGAAUAGUGGUCCCAAACGGAAUAGAAGUACUUUUGAUUCACUGAAUCAUAAUCUUUGAAAGAAGAAAGGGGGACGGAGGAUCAAUGAAAUUUGAUGAUGAUGAGUAAGCUCUUGCUUUUCUUGCUCCUCUUUCUGAAGUUGCGAGAGGUUCAAAAUAUCCUUAUCAAUGAUUGGAGUGGUUGUUCCGGUUGCAACGUUGCUGUUGGAGUAGAAGUUGUAGCCCUUUCGGUGAGGUGCAAAUGCUCGACCUCGACCCAUUGGCAUUAGUUGAGGAUGCACUAUCCCUGAUUAUUUUUUAGGAGAAAGCCUCUUUCGUCGGGUUUAGGGGAAAAGACUAAGAAUGAGGUCCCCUCCCCCCAGUUGAGGAACGAGGGCAAAAGCGAAGCCUAUGAAGUGAGUAUGAGCUCGUUCGACCCCCAUGUAGCAGGAAUAGCACCAUCUUCUCUCUUUCAUGAGUAGUUCACUGCACUCAUUAGUAGCUGGACCAAGAGGUUAUUCACUCUAUGAUCUCCUGGACUGGAAUAGGCGCUCUCCCAUAGCAAGAGGGAGCUCGACGUAGUCGGUCUUUCGACAGUCACAGUAAUUGAGAGAAGCAGCUGCCCGGGAGAGGGAGGUAUCGGAUUAGGCACGAAGAGAGGAUUAGUCGAAUCGACUGUAAGAAGAGGCAUCCGUUCUUGUGGCAGUAGCAGUUGCAGAAGUUGAAUCGUCAGUGGCUGUUCUUGUUUAAGAAAUAGCUGCAGCUAUUCCCACCAAGGCCUGACGAUAGGCUGAUUUCAGGAUUUCCUAUCCAUCCUCAAAUUCUUUGAGCCUUUGUUACAAGAAAAUACUCUUUAGUGACUCAAGAAUACCCUGUCUUAUGGCACCUCUCAUCUGGAGCCUUUGUUUUUAAACAAGUCAAAUUCUCUAAUGGAUAGCCUGAAUUCAUGAAUAUUGAAUUGAACCUACUAAAAUCAAAGGAAUAAAGAAAGAGCUCAAAAGGAGUCAAAAUGAGAAGUCCGAAACCUCAUCACCUACUCCCGGAGGCAAGGUGAAAUUCAAUAUGACGAAGUCUUAUAGUUGGGUCUCAUCCCCCCAUAAUCAAGUAGCAUCCACUAAAAAGAGCGGAGCGCGGAAGGACGAGGCGCAAUUGAAAUAUGCCUGAAUGAAUCUACCCUUUUUAGAUUCGACUACUCCGCUACGUGGGCUUACUAGUAAUGCUGAAGUUUCCUCCUUUUCUAGCUUUCUUUCUAAUGCCCUUCUUUAUGGUCAAGUGUAUGGUCACUUCCCCGAGGCGCGGAUCCCACUACACGGGAAUAUAUUAUGAUAUAAUGAACUAUCUUCUUUCUAAUAGCUGGUUUCAACAGCCACCGGGGAGGAGACAAGAACUCAAUCUACUGAAACAAGGUUUCAACCACAGCGAGAGCAUACCUCAAAAAAAUAAGGAAGAAAAAGAUAAAGGCGCGAAGCAAAGCCUAUGAAGUCAUAAGGGCAAGGGCUUUCCGUGAACUUUCUUAUGAUGGGAAAUCCUUGUUUCAUUUGCGAGACACAUUUCAUUCGUAGAAAUACCACUUCCUACUUCCUCAUCCCGACAAUAAAGAAAGCACUACGCGGGACAAAGUAGAUUCCCAAACUAAAAGGAAAGACUAAAAUCAAAGCUCCAGAUGAGUUGAAUUGAGGUGCAAUGAAAUAUGCCUUUCAGCAGUGUGCGAAUUCGCUCUUUCGGCUGAUAACCUUUCGAUCCAGAAAGCACUACGCGGAAGUUCCCCACUACGCGGCGCGAAGCGACUGCCCACUUUUUGAAAAGAAAUAAAGAGCGCAGAACAAGGUUCAGUUAAGCUUGAUAAAUCAGUCCUUCGCCUAAGAAUAAGGUUCAAAGAAUAUUGAACUCAUGAAAUCAAUAUCCCUGUCUUAUGGGGCCUUCGUAGCUUAAUAAUGGGGAUCUGGUUCAAUUAUAAGGCUCAAAGAAGAUUGAGAAAGAAUAUUGCAAAAUCAAGGCGGCAAAGAAAAGGUGAAUAUGGAUUCGUACGAUUAGACUUGACUGAGAAUGGAAUUGCUUUAGCUAUCUUUUUUUUCCGUCUUUCAAGGUGGAAGCUAAAUCAGAAUAGUUUCUAGUUGAAGGCAAGCAAGCUAGGGUUGGUUCGUAUUGACAAAGAGCUGGACUUCUAAACUUUCAAUGGGUACUGGAGUACUACUUUGUCAAUCGAUGCUUAAUACUAUCUUUACGCAAAUAAAGGCCGAAGAAUGAGGCUAAGUCUUCUAUUUAGUGGUCUCGCUUUGCACCUUGCUGAUCUCAUUUCAAAAAUGCUUCGCCUGCCUCUUCUUGGAUUCCGUGCACGAGUAAGUACCCGUAAAUCGUAAAGAAAGAGGGGGGGUAGUUACCUGCUCUUUCAUCGAGAUUGGCGAAUUACGGUAGAAGAUAGAAGAGGUUCGAGGAUCAAAGUAUUUGAGCUUUGCUAUUACUUUCAUGCUCCUCUUAGAAGGAAGAUAAGCACGAUAAGCUGGCCUAUAUCAUUGCUUAAUUCAUGCUUUCUUCGUACUUCCGGAAAGAAAUCUCACUCAUUUCAUUCUAUCACAUAAUGAGAACUCUAGAAAAGAAAUUGCUUACUUCAUGCUUUCUUCGUAUUUAUUUCCAAUCCAUCUUUUGUCUAUGACGAUCGGUACGAAAGGAAGGCAUGCUCGCAGGGGAUUCUUAUUACUAAUAGAUGAUAAGAUAAUACGAGAAUGAAAGAGGUCGAGCGCCUCACCUCUGAGUCUGAUUGUUGGAGUAGUCUGAUGACUCCCACUGGUCGUCUUUCAACUCAUUAAAUCCCCUAUCUUUUAUGGCGGUCUUACCGGAAUAUCUACUUUAUAGAAUUCCUAUGAGACUAAGAAACAAACUGAGACCUCGUAGUCUUCCUGUUCCCGGUCGAUCCUAUGAUCGAUCUCAUACAAAGAUCUCAUCUCAUCGACUAAAAAGACUCUUUCUUCUUAGUUUGAGCUUGAGGCGCGUCCAACCCACUACGCGGUAAGCUUUUCCUCUUUUCCUCUCACUUCAAGACUCAAGACCUUACCCGCACCGAGUCAAUCCGAUCGCUACCUUUCCGGGUCGUAUUCUAGUAAUUAAUUUCAUUAAUAACUCAGAGCGGCGAUCUAAAUACUUCUUCAGCAAGAACUUCGAAGAAGGUAGAGGAACUGAAAUGGAUUCACUUCCGCAGGCAGCAUCCCUUUCAACGACGACUCCCCGAGAGACCCGCUUCAAACUUCCGAUUUAGAAAGAAGGUAUCUCAGUCUCUUACCGCGUAGUGGGCUGAUCGUGAGAGAUGGAAUCUUCAACCUCUUAUGGAAAUGUGUCCAGCGGAAGUAUUUACGUAAGAAAUUGAGAACCAGGCGAGAGGAGAGGGGUGAGGAUCGAGCGCAUUCCCUAUCGAUCAGCAUCCUCAACUCUACUUCAGAGCUAGAAAGGUUUCGGAAUUCAGAGGCAAGAGCAUUCCUUCCUCUUCUUUAGUCAAGUCAUUUCAUUCCAUUUCUCACUAGGUCUAUAGAAAUAGUUCAUGGCCACUAGGUCUCGUCAUAUUUUUUCUCAAGAGAUGAGAAGAAAGUUCCUAAUAGAAUAUGUUUGAAUAUCUCAACUAGAAAGUCUCGGAUUAACUCUUCCCAUAGCGUAGCCGCGGCGGAAAAGGAAGAUUUUCAACAGUCAAGAGAUCAAUCAGAAGGGAGCGGAAGAAUGGAUAUUGUCUUCGAUCUUGCGAUAAAAUGAGUGAGACCAUAUGCGAUCUGUCUCAAACAGAGAAUUAGUAAUCUGAGUCGCAGGGAAUAGGUUGAAUAGUCCGGAGGACGGGGAGAAGAAAAGAGAGGUUCCGAGGUUCAAAGAAUAUUGGACAAAGAAUAUUUCAUGAAUUGAGGUGCGGUAGUCCGUCCGAAGGACUAUGAAAUCCAUUAGUUUUCGUUUGCACUCCUUUCUUCUUUUCUUAGAUAUUCUGGGAUUGAACUCCGUCUGAAAUCUAGCAGAUUCAUUUUUAGCUUCUUUCAUUCUCGUUAAUGAGCACUUGAACUGUCUUUCUCAGGCGCAAAAAAUAUUGCCGAGAAGAGCAAAGAAGGAAUGGCGAUCAGAAUUGAGUCCUUUCAUACUUUCGUUGAGGAGGAGGAGUUUUUUCUUGUAUCAUAUUAGGAUAUUUUAGUAGAAUAAGAAGAAGAAGAAGAUAAGUACGUAGCGGGCUUUUCUUAUGGCGGAGCGGAGGAGUCCGACUAUCCACUGAAGAAAGUAGGAAAGCCUAAGGAACCUAAAAAGGGCUAAUAGGGGAAGGAAGAAAGCCUAUCCCUCCAGAAUCUUUGAGGACCGAAGGACUUCUUUAUAUCCCUAUUUAUUUAUUUAUGGGACUCCCAGAAAGGUUUAGUUCCAUAAAUCAGUCGGCUAAUAUAUAGGAUGAAAGUAGAUAGAGAGGAAAAGAAAAAAGUCGUCACUCUUAAGGAGUGCAAGAAGGAAUCUUUGAACCUUUUAUCCUGAUCUCUCUCAUUCUACAACUCAGUCGAGCCACUAUUCAACCUUCUUUUCGAGGGGACAUCAUGUCCUCUUAUCUUAAUCCCAUAAAUCAUUUAAGGCGAUACUGAAAGAAGAAAUCCAGCAACUUAAUCCGGUAGAGUCAAUUCGAGACUAAGACGAGUUGGGGUUUCGACCAUAGGCUUUCCUUCCAAACCUACUAUACUAAACCUACCCCCGGACUCAAGGCGCGAAGUGAAGCGGCUGCCCACUUUUUAGAAAUAAAGAGCUGAGAUAAUUCUUUUCACUCAUUGAGGUCGGCUAAAUUCAAUGGAUAAAGAAGUCCUUUGCUUCAUUCUAUAUGUCCUUAUCAAUGAGACCAUUAAUCAGUCCGAAGGACUAUCCAAAGAAAAGAAUAUCCCUGUCUUAUGGGGCCUCCGUAGCUUAAUAUGGAGCGCUCCGGACGAGUCUUAACUAAUAUUCCCAAUCAAAGAAUUAUCGAAAGAAUGAUCGACGAGUCUUAUUCCACUAAAAUAGUAGUCCUUCGGAGCAGUCUUAAUACUCCUAAAAUCAAAGCUCCAGAUGAGUUUCAUUCCACUAAAAGACGAAAGAAGGUAUCUCAGUUACCAAAGAGAAAGAGCUUCCACAAACCACUUCCACAUAAACUUCUGCUAAGUCUACUUCUGUUAUUGAUUCAACUUAGCCUUUAAUCAGAUUAGGACCUAGCUAGCCAACCUUAUUCCUUCCUCUUCCUUACUUUGUUCUCGCUUGCUUCGGCAACACAUCUUUGGAUACUGGAUAAGCUGCAAGAGAAAGACUUCUUCCGAUCGAUCAGCUACCCGAUUCCUCCUUCCCCGAUGAUAAGGUUAGCAGGCCCGAUCCUCUCCUAUUGAAAAAGAAAGCAGAAAUCUUUCAGUCCAGAGUAUUUAUCCGUAGCCCGGAGGAUUUAUCCGUAGGACCAUCUGUAAUUAACCGAAGUAGUCUGCAGUCUGAAGUCCGCAGGAUUUAUCCGGAGGACUAUCCAUUAGAAGUAGGACCAUCCAUAUGGAAGGAAGUAGUCCAGAAUCCGCAGUCCGCAGGAUUUAUCCGUAGGACUAUCCAUUUUCAGUCGGACUAUCCAUAUGGAAGGGAGCGAAAUCUAGCUAUGAGGACUCUUUGAGCUCUUCUUUGAGUCAGUGGCUGCCCUUCCAGAAGGAGCAGCGAAGUCCGCGGUUUCAGAGGUUUAUGUAGCAGUUCUUCUUUAAUAAGAUGCUUACUUUCUUUCGGGUAGAAAGGUUCACUCGUGAACGCACUACUACAGAAAUUGGUUUACUUGACGUUAAUACAAUGUCAAGUAAAUGUAUACUUGACGUUUUUAAAAGCGUCAAGUAUUCGACUGUCAAGUAUAGUUACAUUACUUGACACUAAAAAACUGUCAAGUAUACGUUUACUUAACACUGUAUUAACAUCAAGUAAUCGACUGUCAAGUAUAGUCACAUUACUUGACACUAAAAUAUUGUCAAGUAUACAUUUACUUGAGACUGUAUUAACGUCAAGUAUUAUAUCAUACUUGAUGUUUAUUACGUGUCAAGUAAGAUCAUACACAUGACGCCUUUUACAUGUCAAGUAAAGUCGUAUACUUGUCAAUUUUUGCACUUCAAGUAAGAUUGUAUACUUGACACUAUGUAUCCGUCAACUAAGAUGAUAUACUUGACACUAUUUAUCCGUUAAGUAAAAUAGUAUAUUUGAUUCUAAGAUAGUAUACUUGACAUGUAUCUAACGUCAUGUAUACCAUUUAUUAAUAUAUUAAAUAUAUAAAAAAUUUCAUUUCCUGUUUUCUGUAUUACGUACAUUCAUUUCAAUAAAACAUAUUCAUCGACAAAAUAAACUCUCCAACUAGUAGUUACACAAAAAAUAAUUUAGUAUAAGUAAACCAACAAUAAUUUUAUUACUCUCAACAACAUCGUCAACAAUUACACAAUUCCAAUCCAAUAUAGUCAACUAAAAUUUCCUAUAUGUGGCCUAUUCCAAAAUCAACAAAAUAAUUAUCUUAUAUAACCAAAAACAUGUGUGGUAUACCAAAACUAAAAUCUAUCCCUUUACAUCUAUUGCAUGUACAUAAGCAUAAUAGCUAUGAACGAAACAUUUACAAAAAAAAAAAAAAAAAGUUAUGGGCAUUCCCAUAUAUUAGUCAUUCACAAAAUUAAUAAGAUCACAUCUAAGGAUGUCUAUCAUAUGUACAAAGCUAAAAAUUUAGCCCACUCCGCUCAUACUUCAUCCAAUUCAAGCUGUGAGUAGAAACUCUUGUAUCAGUCUAUAAAACAUAAAAAAUCAAGUAGACAUUUGUUAAAAAUAAAAAUUAAUCAGAUAAGUAACUUAUUUCCAUCAUAAAAAAAUAAUCCCCUUGUAAAAAAUUCUACAUUGUAAGGAGGAUAUUGUAAACCUAAACAUGAAUAUUUAAACCUAUAUGAAACUAAGUACAAACAUAAAUUAGAAAACCUACACUAAAUAAAUAUUGUUAAUGCUCAAAAACAGUUAAAAAUUAACUUAAAGAAUACCGUAUAACUUAAGCAAGUUUCCCAGAUCAUAAUACACAAGAGUACCUAUUCAACUGAGUUAAGUGCUUCAACACCUCCCCGCAUCUGCAAAGAAAAACAUUACAAGAGUAAAGGGAGAGACAAAAAAACGAACUUCCUUUGAUCUUCUUACAACAUUCACAUUUAUCAAGCUCCACUAAAUCACUAAUAAACCAAGAGGACACUAUUGCUUACCUAUUUAUUGCAGAGAAUCUGGGUUCAAGACAAAAAGAACAAAAUAAUUAUACACCAAAUAUUUUGAAGAUUAUUGAAUAGAAAUGUGUAUAUUGUUCACGUGAAAAUUUCACCUACCAUUCUGCAAAUCAAAACAAAUUCUUUGAAUGAAACCAAAUCAUCGAUGAACUCUCACCACCCUGAAUAAAAAACCAACGAAAUCAAUCAAAGAAAACAAAUACAUUGAACUCAAAAAACAAAAAAGAAAAACUCUCAUCCUCUAACAUUCAGUAGUGAACGAAAAAGGGAAGAAAAUCAGAGGGGGGCGGCUUUUCGGUGAGAAGAAAAUCAGAAGGGGGCGUGUCCAGUGAGGAGAAGGGAGAUCGAGAAGAACUCCAGUGGUGAAGAAAUUCGGUGGGGGCCAUUCCACGUGAAGAAAAUCAAAGGGGAAGGGGGCUUUUCGGUGAGAAGAAAAUCGGAAGGGAAGGGGGACACGUUCGGUGAGAAGAGGGGGGCGAGAAAAGAAAUUUGGUGGAGGGUCGUCUGACGUGAAGAAAAUAAGAGGGGGCUUUUUAGUGUGAAAAAAAUCGGAAGGUUGCGUGUGAUAAGGGAAGAGAGGCAGCAUGUGAGAGAAAAUAGGAAAAAGGAGGGAAAAUGAAAAGAGGGAAAGGGUUGGGGAAAAAAAUUUGGGAAAUAAGUUAGGUUUUUUUAGAAAUAGAGAAAAAUGGAAAAUUUAGAGAAAAAAAGAGAAAAAAGUUUUAGAACUUUAGGAUGAAAAAAAUAAUUGGAAAAAAAAGGGAAAAGUUUUUUUUUUUUUUUAGAAAAUAGAGAAAAUAUAUAUUACUUUUGAUAUUUUAAUAAGUUUAUUGUAAUAAUUUUAUUUUAAUUAAUUAUUUAAUGAAAGGAGGGAAAUAAAAAGUAUUUUAUAUUUUUAUACUUGAUAAAAUAAAAAUGUUAACUAUACUUGACGUUAUUUCUGCAUCAAGUAAACAUUAACUAUGUUUGACGUGAAAAAAAUGUCAAGUAAAAGUUGAACUAUACUUGACACUAAAACACCGUCAAGUAAAUUCGACACUAUACUUGACAUGGAAAAAAUAUGAAGUAAAAGCUAAUGUAAGAUAAUUAAAAAAUUUCAUGAAAAUUUUGCUUUCUUUAAACUAUACUUGAUGUUUUGUUCGUGUCAAGUAAAAGUUCAUUAUACUUAGCGCAAAUAAAACGUUAAGUAAAAUCUCCCUUAUACUUAACGAGAAAAAAACGUCAAAUAAAAGCUAACUUAAAAUAGUUUGAAAAAUUUCGUAAAACUCCACUUUUUAAAAACUAUACUUGACGUUUUUUCUUUAAAAUGGUCAAUACUUGACAUUUUUUUAAUAAAAACGUCAAGUAUGUAAAAGUACCUAGUGUCAAGUAAAGUAGAUUUUGUAGCAGUGACGGUACACCUCUUAUAUGAUGCCUGGGGACUUUGUCCCUUCUUCUACGGAUUUCUCUUAUAUGAUCUUAUUCAUCUCCGUAUCGUUCAUAUAUUCAUUCUAUAAAAUCCCUAGCUGCCACAGAUGGUCGAACUUGCCUCUUAAGUGGCGUGGGUCGAUCCUCUUGUUGACUUUUACCUAGGAGUGGGGGGAAGAAGUUCGAGAAUAAUUUCUCUUCUUUCCCUGUCCCAGUUCUUCUUUCCACUUCUACUUAAGUCACCACGACUGAUACAGAUGCAAGAACAUCAGGGCGAGCAGGGAAGAGGCGGAGGGAGUUUGCACUUUUUCAUGCGGGUUUGAGUGAGACUGAUGCGCCCUAGGUCAAGCCAUUGCUUCGUCUUGUUCAUCACAUUCAUUAUGUUCACAAUUCCGGAAUCAAAGUAGAAAUACGAGAAAGCGCUCCAGCGGACUCUAAUUCAUUGGGAAUUCUAUCUUCCCGCCUCAAUGAACAAGGUGAAAAGAAUAUUAAAUGAAUCAUUGAGUUAAGGCGGUGGAACCUAGGAGUGGGACCGGGAACAUGAUAGGCUUCAAUCUAAGAAGUGAAUAUAGUAUUGAAAGAGGCCCACGGAGCGAUGUCCGACUAUCCUACUAUCGAAGCCUUGAAGCAUGAGUCUUGAGGUUUUCAAAGUCUACUCAGAGGACGAGGUUGAAGUUUCAUAGGGAAAGGUUUCAUAACAAGCAGUUGUUUUCCGUAUCGAAUGCUCUUUCAUUCCUUAUUCGAAAGAAGGCAAAGAAAGUGGAAACUAAAUCCUUGGAUUCUUUCCCGCUUGAACCAUGAAAGGUUAGGCCUUAGUUACGAUCUCAUUCAAUGCCCUAGCAUACUCAAAGGUUCGGGGCGUAGUGGAUGGAGCUAGAAGACUACUACUUGGACGAGGGAUUUCCUUUCUCUUAUUGUAAUACUCCUAACCACCCCUUUUUGAAUGGGCAGGCCCCUCUGGUCGAGUUUACCCUUUUUAUUCAGGCCUAUCUGCCUCCGUUCAUGAAGGACAAAAUCGGAUUGAGCCCUUGUUCAUUGAGGCGUAUAAGCCCACGUAGCGGUGCCAUAAGACAGGUCUGAAGGCGUCACAGGUCCGGAGGACCCGUCUGUCCGAAGGACGAGAUAUUUAUAAUGUUGAGAGAAAGAUUAGACUUUGUCAGGACCCUUAUUUCCGUUAUUUUUCACUUUCAAUAUUCUUAAGAAUAUUCAUUCAUCCGACAGAGCAAAGUUCAUCCAGAUCCCCAUAUGAAUUAGGCGAAGGACUGAUUUUCAAAGUCAGAGCUAUCCCUCAAAUUCUUUGAGCCUCUGCACUCAAAUUCUCUAAUGGAUAGUCCUUCAGACCGCUAGGAGUAAAGAAUAUUGUGUGGAACUGAACUAAUAUGGAAAAAGCAUUUCCUAUUGAUUUCUCCCCUGGACUGGACCUAUUCUGAUUCUGAAUUAUCCGUCGCUACGUUGUUCCCAUGGACUAGCAAAAUCGAAAUAGCGAAAUUCUUGGGUCAUCUCAAUGGGUUCAGAAACCACACGUUUCUCUGGAUCAUCAUAGCGUACUUCCACAUAUCCACUCAGAGGAAGGUCUUUUGUAAUGGAUGACCCUCGAAACCAUAAUAUGUUGAUAUACGGCGUAGAUCCGGAUGAUUGAUGGAAGAAACACCAAACAUAUCCCAAACUUCUCGCUCCCACGGCCGGCUGAUGGAAAUAGACUGACUACCGGAGAGAUUCGUGUUACUUCGUCUGCACUGGUUUGUACACGAAUGCGUGAGUUAUACCGAGUACUCAGUAAAUUAUAGACCACUUCAAAUCUGAGUUUUCUAUAUAUAUUUAUAUUGAUGUUAAUAUGUUACCUUGUAAUUGGAAUGGUGAUUUGAAUAAUCUAAUAGGAUUAUGUGUUUGGAUCAAAAUAUGUUGCAAGAGAAAUAGCUAAAUGUGUGGAUUUAGUGACAAAGAGGGUAUUCAUGUGUUUAUUUUAGUUUUCUCAGUGAGGACUCGAUUUUUAGAAGAAACGACCACUGUUCGAAUCAUUCAAAACUUUGUUCCGAACAAAAAUUUUGGACUUUGUCAUUGUCCUCUUCGUCGAAUGUGACAAACUUGAAGACAACGAUGAAACAUUGAAAGAUUACUUGGAUCGAAAAUGUCCUGUGGGGUUGAAAGAUACCAUAGCCGCUAGCAAGAACUGUUGCUUGGUUUUCAAUAACAAAACCGAUAAUGAAACAAAGAAGAUUGAAUAAGUGGAUAAACUUAUAAAGAUGGUGCAUGAAGUUGUACAACAAAAUGAAGGAAAAGCAUACACUCAUGGCUUGUUUUCUAAUGUCAAGUUUGAGACCAAGUUGCAAGAUGAUGUGAAAACCAAGCUUGAACACACAAUUACAGUUCAAAACACAAGCAAAAUUUAAAGCAUAACAAGGAGCACAAGAACUUCAACAACAAUCUAUUGAUCAAAUUCGAGUCCUCAAAGACCAUCUAUGCAUCAAGACUUGAAAGGUCACUGUCACUACCAAUGCUUCCACAAAUUAUUCGUCAUGGUCGCUGCAUGAGAAAAGGUUGCAUUAUUGUAUGACUUUACUGUGCAUGCAUUCAAUAAAUAUGUACAAGUAAUUAGUAUAAUGAAUAUAUACUAAAUAAAAAUAUGAAAAAACUGUGAAAAAAAACUUAUUUGAUUAACUGCUAUAAAAAUUAAUAUUUGAAAAUUGGCAUGUGUUCUCGAAACUAAUAAAAGCAAGUUUGGAAAUGCCUUUAUUUUGUCUUUGUUGAGUGUAGUGUAAAUUGGCAAAUAUAGAAUGCUUAAUUAUGUUGUUAAUUAAUAGAAAAUUAUUUUAGAAGUUUUGAUGAAUGUCCAACUACAUGUGGAAAGAAUUAUAAAGGAUUGAAAAAUGAUUCUAUAAUCUAGCCCAAACAAGAGGUGGGUUAUUAUAGCUCACUUCACUUCUAUUUAGUUUGGGACCCAAAUAGCCUCUUAAAAUUAGGUUAACUCCAUAACUAAUAAGGGUCUUUAACUCAUAUAGUCUAAAUGCUAUAUGAUAUUACAUGAAUGAUCCAAAUUACUAAUAAAUUUCAUAAAAGUCCUAAAUGGACUAGUAUAUUACAUAAAUGUAGGCUCAAAUUACUUUAAUACCAAUUUAUAUUAUUUAAUUGAUUUAUAACAAAUAUCUAAAUGAAAAAAACCGUGGGAUAUAGUUUUGGAAAGAAGUGGGGUCCAAAUUAAUUUAAUAUCAACUUCUAUUAUUUAAUUUAAUUGAUUUAUAACAAAUAUCUAAAUGGAAAAAAUGGUGGAACACCGUUUUGGAAAUAAGUGGGGUCCAAAAUAAUUUAAUACAAAUUUUUAUUAUUUAAUUGAUUUAUAACAAAUAUCUAAAUGGAAAAAAUAAAGAGAUACAGUUUUGGAAAGAAGUGAAAAACUUUUCAUGCUUUCCUACCACGAAAAUGGUUGUCUACUCCUUUCAACGUGGAUUACGAUUUUUACUUCAAAAUUUUAGAGAGUUCGGAGGUGAAGAAGAAGACAGUCGACGACCGACAAAUACAAAACUUCUCGAACAUAAUCUAGUUAAAAACUUUGAAGUUAGUAUUGUAUAUAUUCAACACAUAUGAAACAUUAGAUAUAUUAUGUAUAUUUUAGAUAUUCAAUUAAAUAGUCAAUCAAAUGAAAAUGUAGUUUUGAAUGUGAUACAUUUUAGGGUUUAUUGAGAUUUCGGCGGUGAAGAAGAAAACUUUUGAUGGCCAAAAAAUACAAAACUUAUCCGACAGAAUCUAGCUAGAAAAUUUGUGCUUAAUAUUAUAUAUAUUCAAAACAAAUGAUUAGAAACAUUUAGUAUAUUAGGUAUAUUUUAAAUAUUCGAUUAAAUAGACAAACAAAUGAAAAUAUAUGAAACAUUUGGUAUAUUAGGUAUAUUUUAAAUAUUUGAUUAAAUAGACAAACAAAUGAAAAAUUAGUUUUGAAUGUGAUACAUUCUAGAGUUUAUUAAGAAUUCAACGUUGAAAAAGAACGGUCAUCCUAUCAAAAAAAUAAUAGAACUAUAUAUAUAAUAUGAGGUAUAUAUAUAUAAACAUAGAACAUAACUAUUAUAGAUUACGGAUAUAUUAAAGUAUAAUGUAAUCAAAUACAUUUAUAAAGGAAAAAUAUGUAUGUAUGAUCAUGUCGUUUACUACCGUUUUAGUAAUAUUUAUUCUACAAACACAAAUUAUGUAGGAAUUAUGUAUAAGGUAUUAUUGUAUAUAAUAUGAGGUAUAUAUAUACUAAAUAACAUAUAUGAAUUAAAGUGUAUAUUUUAUUAGUGAAAGGUUCUUAUAUCAAUUUGUUUAUGAUUUUUAUUUAAAUAUUCAUAUAUUAUGUAGUAAAUAAUACGUUAUGUUUGAAAUAAUAUUGAUUAUGUAUUAAAGUUGCCCAUUAGACAGUUUUUUAAUAAAAUAUACCUAUUAUAUUAAUAUAGAAAAUGGGAGGAAAUCGUGCAACAUUAAAAUAGGAAACUUCUUUACCAUUUUCUCACUUUCCAUAUUCAACGAAAAGCUUGCCAUUUCGACAGUCAAUGACAUAUACAACAUAUUAUAUAAUGCGAUAAUAUUAUAAAACUAGUAUAAUCAUAAAUAAGAUGUGAUAUAUAUUUAAGGGAAAUAUUAAAAAACUGAUAAAUUCAUAAUAGAAUAACGUUAAAAUAAGGAGAAUAUUGUUAAUAUAUAAUAUAUAUACGCAUAUGAUAUACUCAUAAUGAACUAAUUUUAAAUGGGUAAAAUAACAAAUGACAUAUUUAUGUUAUUCUUCAUAUAAAACAUCAACUAAAAGUAUUAUAUCUCACGGUUAAUAUAUAAAACUAUUAUAAAUGUAAACAAGAUGUGAUAUAUAUAUAUAUAUAAUAAAUCACAUAUACAACCUAUUAUAUCAUCCGAUAAUAUUCUAAAAUUAGUAUAAUCAUAAAUAGUAUGUGAUAUAUGUUUAAAGGGAAUAUUAAAAAACUGGUAAAAUCAAAAUAGAAUAACAUUAAAAUAAGAGGAAUAUUGUUAAUAUAUACUAUAUAUACGCAUAUGAUAUACUCAGAAUGAACUAAUUUUAAAUGGGCAAAAUAACAAAUGACUGUGGAUUUUAUCUUAUCUUCAGGUGAUGGACAAUUGUAUAUGACGGCGAUUUGUUAAGAUUCUGCAGCUUACGGUUAUGAUAAAUUUGAAUACAAAUUUAUAAAACAAUGUAAUAAGAAGUUCAAAUGAUGGAGAAGAAUAGCAAAAAAAAGCUGUCGGCGAUGGAGAAGAUAAUGUAAUGGCUGCCAGAGAGAGUGAACAAUUAGGUUAAGUUAUAUUUUUAGAAAGAAUAAUUAAAUAGUUUAUUACAAAAUAAAGUAAAAUUACAAUUAUUAUAAUAUAUUCUGAUUUAUAAUUAAUUUAAAAGAUACUUGAAAUUAUUAACAUAUUAAGGUCUUUUGUUUAAAAGUUUCAACUAAUAAUAAUGAUAGUUCUCAUUAACCAAUUGACAAAUGAUUGAUAUUGUCAAAUAAUCGAUAUUGUCAAAUGAUCGAUAUGUGCAAGUGCACAUUUCAAUUAUAAUAUAGUAAAACGUUCUUAGAGAUCGAGCUAGUAUCCUUUUAAGAGGGAUCAAAUUAACAAAUUAAUUUAUUGAUUUUAGGAUUAGAUGUGUUUUAAGGAUAAAAACAAUGAUUAGAAACUAAUAAAAGAUCCCUAAAAGACAAAUAUGAAAUCUCAAAGAAUAAAAAAUGCUCCAAAAUUGUAUUUGAUUUCACUGUUCAAUCCAUAAAAUCAUGAUGUGUAUAGGUUAUAUGAAAACUAGUGUCAGUAUGUGUUCAGCUCAAGUUGUUGACUUUUGAAAAAAAUAUCUUUCCAUUCAAACAUAUACAUAGUUUGGUUGGUAGUUUUUCUUCAAAAUUAUUAUUUUGAGAAAACAAAUACAAUUUCUUUUUUAGGUAAUCCAAUAUCCUCGAGUAUAUUUAAAUAUGGAAAUAUUAUUUCCAUAUUAGAAGAGAUACUAAAAGAUCUUAUUAUAACAUCAUUAGAGUCCCAUCAUUUUCUCUAAAUAUCUCUUUUGUGGUGAAAGAUUUGGAAUUGCACAUCAAUCAUUUUGGAAUGGGUAAUUGAUCACCCUAUUUUUCAAAAAAUAAGAAAGAUAAAAAAUAGUUAUUUUUUUUAAAGAUAUAUUUGAAAGUGUUGAGUUUAUGGAAGGUAUUAGUACUUAUACAACCACAAACAUUUGAUUUUUGUUAUCUAAAUUAUUUUAAUAAAAAUGUUUUUUUUUUUUUGAAGUUUAUGCUUAUUAAAAAUGCUUAUUUAAAAAAUGUUAAUGAAAUUUUAAAAAAUAAAAUCUAAUUAAACACUUCUGAGAUAGAGAGGUUUCCCUUGACUACCCGAGCGUAGAUAAACACUUCUGAGAUUUGGUUGGUAAUCCCAAGUUCGUGUGCAGUUGAUUAUUUUUUAAAUUUUGUAUAGUUGAAUAAUAUUUGAAUUUUAAAUUUUCAUCUAUGUGAUAUUUACUCAUUUCAAACUUUUUGAAUAUGCAUGUUUAUUUAUUAUUCUGCCGUCUCUCUAUUGUAUUUUAAAAUUUAGAAUAUGUGUAUUUAUAUUAUUUGAAAUUGAAAAUUUAACUUUUGCUCUUACAGUAGGCUUUAACUCUUUGUUUGUCCGUGUUGUAGGUGAGAGAGAAGGAAAAGUUCCAUUGUUUGAUUGAAUUGGAAUUGUUUCGUGCAUGGGGUGUCAUACAUAAUUCCACUUAUUACUAGUUGAAGGUCUUCUUUGCCUCUGUCUUCUUCCCCAUCUCCCCAAGUUGUUCUAACCUUUUUAUAUCUACCUAUUACAUGUCAAAAGGUUGUUUCGCUCUUCAAUGUUUUGAAACAAGUUCAUUAUGAAAAUCUCUCACAAGCAAACGUCAUGUGCAUUAUGAAUAAUUUCAUCUCAAAAAAAUUGUUUGAGAGGUUUCAAAAGUGUAUCGAAACUAAUAAUUUUAAUGAAUAAAAAAAUAAUUCUUCGUUAGAUUCUUACAUUUUAUUUCAACGAAUAAAAUUUAGGAAAAUUUUUAAAAAUAGCAAAUUUUACAAAAAUAUUUACAAUUUAUAACAAAUUUAUAGUCAUUGAUAUGCUAUAACGAUAGUUACUAGUAAAUAUUUUAAUUUAUUUUGUUAUUUUUAAAAAUGCUCAUAAAAUAUUAUAGUGAGGGAACAAUGAUGAAUCACAUAGUUUUCUUGUGGUGAUGUCGCUUUUUAUCCCUCUUUACAUUCUAAAAUCUCAAAUACAAAUCAUAAAACAAGUAGAUAUACAUUCAAUUAACAUGAUUUUGAUUCUAAUAAAUUAGAAAGACAAAAAUAACUAACUAAUUAUGGAAAAGUAAUAUUUUAACAUGAAUUAUUGAUUUUUAAUUAGAGGUAAUUUUAAAAUAAAUAAAAUAAAAGAAAAUAUUACAAAUCAAAUCUAAACUAACUUUGAUUUUACUUCUUUAAUUGCAAUAUAACAUAGAUACAUUGGCUAUGAAGUGCAAUUUCUUAUAUUAUAAUAUUUAAAAGAUUUAAAUUUAAAAAUAAAAAUAAGUAAUCUCAAGUCCAAUAUUGGACCUGUGGGGCUUAGCCCAUCAAUUUAAAAAUUCAAAAUGCACACUCAACGGUCACAUUUUCCUAGGAUCAUCCUAUUUAAUGCCCUUCUACUUGUCAACUCCAUCGAAAUCCUUCAUUUCUUGUGGCACCGUCUAAAAUUUGCUUCGAUUGAAGAAAUUUUGACGCCCAUGACAGCGUUGAAAUUUCUUCAAUGCAAACAAAUUUUUUAUCUUCCUUUCAUCGAGGAUUUUCAUACCAUGUGAAGGAGAGAUCAGUUCCAUCAGUUCCAAGUCGUUCGUGAGUCAUCUUCUUUCCUGUGUAGUUUCAUCUCUUGAUUUUGGAUUGCUUGUUCAAGAUUUAUUUUCGAAUUUUGGAUUGUUUGCUAUUCGGAUAGGCAGAAGGUUUGCACGAUGAUAGAUCUGGAGUACCUGAAUCGUUUAUUGAUUCUGUAGUUUAAUCUUAUGAUUUUGGUGAUUUCGAAGCGUACAAUAUAAUCGUACUGUGUUAUGAAGUAAAUAAGAUUUUGUAGGGUUUUUGAAAGUUAAUUUAGAUAUUUCCUGCAUUUUAGUCUUGAUAGAUCUGGGUACCUGAACCGUUCAGGUUUGCAUGCUGUGAUUGUGUUGUUCUUUUUUGAUUUUGGAGAGAGUCCUUGGGUAAUUUUGAGGAUUGUUCUUUUUUUAGUUUUUUUUUGCAUGCAUUCAAACACACGCAUGGUUUUUAAACUGGGGUUCUUGAAUAUUUGUUGGUUUUCUCGAAUAUUUGCCGGUUUUUUUUUCUCAGAAGAAUUGAUCUUAUAUUUGUGUAUCUCUCUGUGCAACUUUAAUAUAAAGUUAUUAAGGAAGAAGAGAAAGGAGGAAGAAGGGAGAGAGAAAAGGUAGAAACGACCUAAUAGUAGGCAUGAGUAUUAAGAUGCAGCAGAGCCACCACUUAGUGGCGCUAAGGUUUAAUGAGCAAAUUGACAGUAGAAAAGGGUCCACAUCCAUACCUAAGUUACUAUUGCUCUGGGUUCUGUUGGUGGCAUUCAUUAGUAUGUUAAACUACAAAGAAAUGGAUGGGUGGUGUUAACAAAGUUAGAAGAAAGUAAGUUCUGGGAAGUAUGUGUGACCAGACGACAAAGAUGCUUCUGCCUCAACUUAGUGUCAGUGUCAAACUAUGUCCAGGCUUUGGCCAUUCUCAUUUCAUUUCCAGUACUUCAAAAUCGUAUCAGCAAUUGAUCAGGAAAAUGUGUUUCGAUUUCUGUCUUUUAUUAGUCUCGGUUAGUUAGGCUUAAGAGUAAGGGAUAUAAUUCAUUUUUCUUGUUUCAGCUAGAAAUUACGUCGAUGUCUUGAUUUUUAGUUUUUUUAGGGCUGUUUGGUUGUUUUUUUAGGGGUGUUUGGUUAGUUAGGCCUAAGAAGUAAGGGCUAGUGAAAGAGAAGCAUUUGAUUGUCCUACAAGUAUCUGAAUCGCCAAUGAAAGCAGAGGUUAUUUCCUCUGAAUUUCCACGAAUUGUUCAGGUUUGGAUUCUGUGAUUGUGUUGUUCUGUUGUUCUCUUUUUUAUUUUGGAGUGUUCUAGGAAAUUUUGAGGUUUGUUAUUUUUUAGUUUUUUUGGCUUGCCUUUAAUCACGCUCGUUUGGGAAUAGACAGGCUUCAGAGAAUGAAUCUCCUUUUUAAGGGUUCGUUGGGAGCGAAGUGACCAUAUGGCAUCCCUUUCUGCACCUGCUCAGUCUCUCUCUUGCCUUUUUCAUACUACAUAUUUUUGUUUCUCAAUUUAGUGUCAGUGUCAACCAUGUCUAUGCUUUGGCCAUUCUCAUUUCCACUUUCCACUACUCUAAAAAUGUAUCUGCAAUUGAUCAGGUAAAAGUGUUUCAAUUCUCUGUCUUUGGUUCAUCUCCGUUAGUUAGUCUUAAGAGUAAGGGAGAUAAUUCGUUUUUCUUGUUUCCCUCCAUGUAUUGAUUUUUAGUUUUUUAGGGAUGCUUGGUUGGUUUGAAUGCACGAAACAUUUGCUGGUACACGAUUCAAACAGCUUGCCCAGUCAUGUUUUUCUAUUUUUUUUUAAUAUUUUGGAAUUUUGCAUGUGUGAUUUCUGUAUAUAUUAUUCUUGCCCUUUUCCUUUAUCAUCAUUUAUUUUGAUUUUGGAGAGGUCUCUUGGUUAUUUGUUAUUUGCACAUAUACAAGGGUUGAAAAUUUCAAUCCCACCUCUCUUUUAUAUUACAUUCAUUUAGUUUUGGCUGUUAUCUAAUUGAACUAUUUGAUCAUCAAAUAAUUGUGUUACCUUUUCUUCUAGAUGUUUAGAUUCAUUUUUCUCACUAUUUUAGUUUUCUUAAUGUGUGACAGUCUUUGUUUUUUAUUGAACUAUUGUGUGGCAGUCUUUAUUUAUUGGUUAUCUUUAGUUUCACUAUUGUUCUUUUUUUAAUGUUUUCUUAGUUUUUAAUAAGUGUGACAAAAUAUGAAUUAAUUUUUUUCUUUGAACAAAUGUGGAAUUUAUUUUCUUUUAAUGUAGUUGUGUCCCCAAUAAAUUUAUUUUGGCGAUUUAACAAUCCAUCAUGUUCUUUUUCAUUUUUCUGUUGUAUUUUCUUCGGUUCUUUGUUGUGGUAUGUCUAUUUUUGAGACAUUCUUAAUUUAGUUUUAUUUCUUUUAGCUUCCUGCAUCAUUUUGUAUUAUGGAUUGUUAUGAAAUUUUGAGAUUAUGCUUUAUUUUGUUUUUUGGUCCUUUGCUGUGAUGUCUUUUGAUUAUUUCUUUUGAGUGAACAGUUCAUGUAAGAUUUUCUGCAUGAGAAUAAAUUGAUUAUUUAAUUUGGUCAAAGAAGUUCAAAAUUUACAUGUGAAAUUUACACUCAGUGGCUGUAAGGUUUAAUGAGAAAAUUGGAAGUAGAAAAGAGUCCACAUUAAUUCAUUCAGCCAAGAGGGCUUGGCAUCCUAAGUUUGCUCUGGGUUCUGUUGGUGGCAUUCAUCAAUAUGUUAAUCUAUUAGGGAAUGUAUGGUUAUAACAAAGUAAGAAGAAUGGAAGUUCUGGGGGAGUAUUUGUGACAAGAGGGCAAGGAUGCUUCUGCAUCAAUUUAGUGUUAGUCAAUCAUGUCUAUGCUUUGGCCCUUCUCAUUCCACUUUCCACUACUACAAAAAUGUAUCUGCAAUUGAUCAUGUAAAAGUGUUUCAAUUUUCUGUCUUAGGUUCAUCUCAGUUAGUUAGUCUUAAGAGUAAGGGAGAUAAUUCAUUUUUCUUGUUUCAGCUAGAUGUUACCCUCCAUGUCCUGAUUUUUAAUUUGGCUUCCUAAGUGUGCUCUAGGUUCUGUUGGUGCAUUCAUCAGUAUGUUAAUCUACAGGUGAAUCUAUAGUUAUAACAUAGUAAGAAGAAUGGAAGUUCUUGGGGAGUUUGUGUGACAAGAGGGCAAGGAUGCUUCUGCAUUAAUUUAGUAUCAGUGUCAACCAUGUUUAUGCUUUGGCCAUUCUCAUUUCCACUUUCCACUACUCCAAAAAUGUAUUAUCUGCAAUUGAUCAGGUGAAAGUGUUUCAAUUUUCUGUCUUUGGUUCAUCUCAGUUAGUUAGUCUUAAGAGUAAGGGAGAUAAUUCGUUUUUCUUGUUUCAGCUAGAUAUUACUCUCCAUGUCUUGAUUUUUAGUUUUUUAGGGGUGCUUGGUUGGUUUGAAUGCAGGAAACUUUUGCUGGUACACGAUUCAAACAGCUUUCCAUGUCAGGUUUUUCUAUUAUUUUUCUUUAAUAUUUUGGAACAUGUGUAAUUUCUGUAUAUAUUAUUCUUGCCGUUUUCCUUUUUCAUCAUUUAUUUUGAUUUUGGAGAGGGUCUCUUGGUAACUUGACUUUUCUUUUAGUUUUGACUGUUAUCUAAUUGAACUAUUUGAUUAUCAAAUAAUUGUGUUACUUUUUGUUCUAGAUGUUUAUAUUCAUUUUUCCCACUCUUUUAGUUUUGUUAAUGUGUGACAGUCUUUGUUUUUCAUUGAACUAUUGUGUGGCAGUCUUUAUUUAUUGGUUAUCUUUAGUUUCACUAUUGUUCUUUCUUUAAUGUUUUUCUUAGUUUUUAAUAAGUGUGACAAAAUAUGAAUUUAUCUUUUUCUUUGAACAAAUGUGGAAUUUAUUUUUCUUUUAAUGUAGUUGUGUCCCCAAUAAAUUUAUUUUGGCGAUUUAACAAUCCAUAAUGUUGUUUUUCAUUUUUCUGCUGUAUUUUCUUUGGUUCGUUGUUGUGCGAUGUCUAUUUUUGAGACAUUUUUAAUUUAGUUUUAUUUCUUUUAGCUUCCUGCAUCAUAUUGUAUUAUGGAUUUUUUCGAAAAUUUGAGUUUGAUCUUGUUUUCUGGUCCACUGCUGUGCAGUUUUUUUUUAUGAGAUAUUUUUAUUUAGAUUUAUUAUCUUUUAGCUUGUUUUGCAUUUUGCAUUAUAGAUUAUUUUUUAAAAUUUUGAGGUUGUUUUUUUUCUUUGAUCUUUUGUUGCGGUGACAAUUUUAAUUUAGAUUUAUUAUCUUUUAGCUUGCUUGCAUUAUGGAUUGUUAUGAAAUUUUGAGAUGAUGCUUUAUUUUGUUUUUUGGUCCUUUGCUGUGAUGUCUCUCUAUAAGACAUUUUUAAUUUAGGUUUAAUAACUUUUAGCUAGCUUGCAUUGUGGAUUGUUAUGAAAUUUUGAGUUUCUGCUUUCUUUUGAGUUUUGGUGAUGCCUUUUUACGAGACAUUUUUAAUUUAGGUUAAUUUUUUAGGUUGCUUGCAUUUAUGGAUUGUUCUGAAAUUUUGACUUUCUGCUUUUGUUUUUUAUGUCAUUUGUUGUGUGAUAUUCUCUUUAUAAGAUAGAGAUAUUUUUAAUUUAGGUUUACUAUUUUUUAGCCUGCUUGCAUUUGGUAUCAUAUAUGAAUUGUUCUGAAUUUUGAGUUUCUUCUUUUUCAGUCAUUUGUUUGCGAUAACUUUUUAUAAGACAGACAUUAAGAUUUAUUAUUUUUGGACUUGUUUGUAUUUUGUAUCACGGAUUGUGGUUUUUUAAAUUCAGAGGAGGAACUAGAAAUUGUUCUUGUGAUAUGUUAAAAUCUAGUUUACUGCAAAGAAUGAAUUCUAAAACAGAGGGUAUGAAUUCGUCAAUAAUUUUUCUCCAUUUCUGCGUUGAGCAAUGUUUAGCUGAUAUGUUUGUGUAUUCUUUACAUUAGUGCAGCACCACAUGCUAAUUUAGGUGUGAAAUGCUAAUUUAGAUGUGAAACACUUCCAAAGAUGACGAGAAAUCAAAGAUUGUCGUAGUAAAAAACCUCACCAGUUUUUCCUUUCAGGUUUUUCUUUUCUUUUUCUUUAAUAGUUUGGAAUUUUGCUGGUGUGAUUUCUGCUUUUCUCUUAUCAUUUAUUUUGAUUUUGGAGAGCAACUUUGGUAAUGUUAAGGUGAUUUAAGAAAAGUUGGUUGUCCAAGAAUCAAUAUUUUUAUAUUACCUUAAAUCUUCCUAAGACAUGUUGGGUCUUUCUUUGGCCUUUGUUAGUGUCUUCUAUUAAGUCUGUUAGUUUCACUUUAGUUGGGUCUUUUUUUAAUUUUAUUUUAUCUUUUAAAUUCCAAAUCCUACUCAUUUGGUCAUGACGAUUGAAUAAUCAUUGUUAAAUUUAUUUCUUGUUGGGAGUGUAGAUUUUAUUUUCUUUUUGGCCUUUGUUAUUUGCAUCUAUACAGGGGUUCGAAAAAUUCAAACCCUUCCCUCUUUUAUUCGACAUUCUUUUAUUUUUAUUAUGUACUAUUGGAUUGUUAAAAAAAUUGUGUUACUAUUUCUUACAUUCCAUAAAGAACCCUUUCUGAUGGAUUAUUUCUUAUUGAACUGUUUUAAAAUUUUGAGUUUCUUCUUUUUCUUUUUUGGGUCCAUUGUUGGGGGAUGUACAUCUUUAAUUUUUUUUUUUUUUUAUAAGAGAUGAUACAUCUUUAAUUUAGAUUUAUUAUCGUUAGCUUGUUUUGCAUUUUGUAUUAUGUUUUUUGAAAUUUUGAGUUUCUUCUUUUUCUUUCUUUGGUCAUGUGUUGUGCGAUGUUAUUUGCAUUAGGGGUGUUUGGUUGGUUGUUUUUUAGGGGUGUUUUGGUUAGUUAGGCUUAAGAAGCAAGGGCUAGUGAAAGAGAAGCAUUUGAUUGUCCUACAAGUAAUAAGCUUCUCCUCAAUCAUUCAACCAUUUUUUUAGUAAAGAAAGAGGCUUCUCCUUUGGCAACCAAAGUCCGUCCUUGGUCAAUAUAUAUCAAAAUAAAUAAGAUCCAUCUUUGGUAAUUUUUUAAAAAAUUAAAUCUAUAAAUACUCAUUUCAUCUCUAAAAUUAUGUGAUUUGUACUUUCUAAAAUUCCCUCGAUGGUACUAAUACACUCUUAUAUUUGUAUUGUAAUUAUCAUGUCCUUUUUCUAUGGUUUUUUAAAGUUAAUUUAGAUCCUUAUUCGCUCUAGGUAUAAGUUGAAUGGAAGAGUUUUUUAGCCUUGAUAGAUCUUGAGUACCUGAAUCGCCGAUGAAACAGAGGUUAUUUUCUCGGAAAUUCCACGAAUUGUUCAGGUUUGGAUUCUGUAAUUCUGUUGUUCUUUUUUUAUUUUGGAGAGUGUCCUGGGUAAUUUUGAGGAUAUUAUUUUUUGUUUUUUUUCGGCUUGCAUUUAAUCACGCGCGUUGGGGAAUAGACAGGCUUCGGAGAAUGAAUCACCUUUUUAAGGUUUCGCUGGGGAGCGAAUUGGCCAUAAGGCAUCCCUUUCUGUUCAGUCUCUCUCUUGCCUUUUUCAUACUAUAUGGUUGUUGAUAUGGGGUUAUUGAAUGAUUGUUGCUUUUAUUUUCAUAAGAAGUGAUCUUAUAUUUUUGUCUCUCUGUGCAACUUUAAUAUGAGGUUAUUAAGGAAGGAGAUAAAGGAGGAAGAAGGGACGGAGAAAAGGAAGAAAUGACUGGAUUGUUGGGAUGGGUAUGAAGAUGCAGUAGAGCCACCACCUAGGGGCUGUAAGGUCUAAUGGGCAAAUUGAAAGUAAAAAAGAGUGCAUCCAUUCAAGCUAAGAGAGCUUGGGUUCCUAAAUUACUAUUGCUCUGGGUUCUGUUGGUGGCAUUGAUUGGUAUUGUUAAUCUACAAGGGAAUUGAUGGUGUUAACUAAGUUAGAAGAAAGGAAGUUUUGGGCGUAUGUGUGACCGGAGCACAAAGAUGCUUCUGCAUCAAUUUACUGUGAGUGUUAAACUAUGUCCAUGCUUUGGUUAUUCUAUUUUCUACUUUCCACUCCUCUCGAAAUGUAUUAGCAAUUGUUCAUGUAAAUGUGUUUCGAUUUCUGUUUGAUACUUCUCAGUUAGUUAGGCUUAAAAGUAUAGAAAUUAUCUUGAUGUCUUGAUUUUUAGGGUUUUUUUCAGCGGUUUUUGGUUUUUGGUUUUUUUUUUGUUGGAUUUUGGCUAGUUAGGCUUAGAGGUGCAAGGACUUGUGAAAGAGAAGCAUUUGAUUGACCAACGAGUAAUUAGUUUCUCCUCAAGCAUCCCACCACUUUUCUAUUAAAGAAAUACAGGUACGUCUACGCUAUUACUUUUCAUGUCCUUUUACUUAAGAUAUUUAUAUAAAUAUAUAUAAAAAUAAAUAAGAUCCAUCUUUGGUAAUUUUUUUAAAAAUCAAAUCUGUGAAUAUUCAUUUCAUCUCUAAAGUUUUGCGUUUUGUUACUUUUUAAAAUUCCCUCCAUGUUACUAUUACACUCCUAUAUUUGUGUUGUAAUUAUGAUGUCCUUUUUCUAUGGUCUGUUAAAGUUAAUUUAAAUCCUUUCUUGCUCUUGGUUUAUGUUGAAGAAAUGGAAGAGUUUUUUAGCCUUAAUAGAUCUGGAGUACCUUAAUCGCUCUUGCAUUUUGUGAUUCUGUUCUUUUUCUAUUUUGAAGAGUGUCCUGAGUAAUUUUUAGGAUUUUUAUUUUAUAGUUUUUGUCGCUUGCAUUUAAACACGGACUUGGUUGUUGAACUGGGGUUCUUGAAUAAUUGUUGGUUUUGUUUUCUGAAGAAGUGAUCUUAUAUUUGUGUAUCUCUAUGUGCAACUUUAAUAUGGGGUUAUUAAGGAUGGAGAUAAAGGAGGAAGAAUGGAGAGAGAAAAGGCAGAAAUGACUUAAUUGUUGGGAUGAGUAUGACCCCAUGUCUAGUAGUUCCCAAGUAUGAUAUAGGAAGGCAGAGAGUCAAGGCCUUGUCUGACUCUAAUAGAAUUAAGUAGCUAACGCAACACAAUAUUCUUUGCACCUUCAGUCUGUGAAUCUGAGGAGCAAGAGUUUGGCCAGAGGAGCUAGUCUCGUAACUACGGGCGCAGUUCUAGUUCUUUACAAGACAGAUGGGAACUGUAGCUAACAAGUGUGCCCUGAGUGGAUUCCUACCACUACUCUUUCUACUAUAUUGGCAGGACGGGUGCCAAGUUAUUAGUAGCUAGGCAGCUAAGCCAGUAGUAGUUCAGUUCAGGUGCUGUUCCCAAACCUAGUUGACUACGUUGUAGCGUAGCGGUACGGGACAGAAAAAGAAUUGAUAGCGGUACACUGAACACAAAGAAAUUUGAUAGACAUAUGUUGAGAGUUCGACAAGUAGCACUGAAUCUACUAUCAGUAGUGAUUUAUAGAAGUUGACUCGCUUAAACGAAGAGAGUGAACAAAGCAUAGCGGAGUGAAGAGAGAAAUGGUUUCAUUAGAUAGCUCUCUCGAUGUCCUUGUUAUCUUUCCUAGGUAGAUUGUGACUUAUUCAUUCUUUCUCGCUGACUCUAGUUUCCCCGCCGUGGAUCCUUUCUCUGUUAGGCGCUGUAAUUUAGAAUUCAGAAACGUAUCUGUCUUAUUAUCUUUGAGUCAAAGCAAUGUUACAUAUUUAUAUAGAUAAUAAGCUAAACCCUAGAGACUAUGUAAAAUUACAAUAAAGGACAUAUGUAUAUAUAUAUAUAUAUCAUAACACUCCCCCUCAAGUUGGAGCAAAUAUGUCGAUCAUGCCCAACUUGUUGCACAGAUAGCUUAUCCUUGUUCCAUUUAAAGCUUUAGUUAGAAUAUCUCUCAAUUGUUCUCCGGUCUUCACAUAUCCUGUGGACACCAACCCAUCUUGGAUUUUCUCACGAAUGAAGUGACAAUCCACCUCAAUAUGUUUAGUUCGUUCAUGAAAUACUGGAUUAGAUGCAAUAUGAAGUGCAGCUUGAUUAUCACACCAUAAUUUAGCUGGCACGGUAAUACUGAAGCCUAUCUCAGAUAAUAGUUGGUGAAUCCAUACUAUUUCACACACAGAUUGUGCCAUAGCUCUAUAUUCUGACUCAGCACUCGAACGAGAAACAACAUUUUGUUUCUUACUCUUCCAUGAAACUAAGUUUCCACCUACAAAAACACAAUAUCCAGAAGUCGAUCUCCUAUCCUCACGAGACCCCGCCCAAUCAGCAUCAGAAAAACAUUCAACUCUCGUAUGUCCAUGAUCUUUGUAUAGGAUCCCACGUCCAGGAGCAGCUUUUAGAUAACACAAAAUCUGCUCUACUGCAGCCCAAUGAUCCACUGUAGGGGAAGACAUGAAUUGACUUACAACACUUACAGAAUAUGCAAUGUCUGGUCGAGUCACUGUUAAGUAGUUCAACUUCCCAACUAAUCUCCUAUAUCUCUCAGGAUCUUUACAUAAUUCUCCUUCUUUAACAAGUUGCUGAUUUGGCAUCAUUGGAGUGCCACUUGGUUUGGUGCCUAAUUUUCCUGUUUCAGACAACAAAUCAAGUACAUAUUUUCGUUGAGACAAAUAAAUACCUUUCUUGCUUCUCAUCACUUCAAUGCCCAAAAAAUAUUUCAAUUGGCCCAAAUCUUUUGUAUAAAACUGACCCUGAAGGAAAGUUUUGAGAGACGAAAUACCCAAUGCAUCAUUUCCAGUAAUAACAAUAUCAUCAACAUAUACAACUAGUAGAACUAUACCCUUCUCAGAUCGGCGAUAGAAAACUGAAUGAUCAGAUGUACUCUUCUUCAUACCAAAGCAUACAAGGGCUUGACUAAACUUACCAAACCACGCACGAGGACUCUGUUUCAAACCAUACAGAGAUUUUCGAAGGCGACAUACUUUAUCACUCUCCCCCUGAGCAACAAACCCUGGUGGUUGUUCCAUAUAAACUUCCUCUUGAAGAUCACCGUGAAGAAAAGCAUUCUUAAUGUCAAGUUGAUGCAACGACCAUUUAUUGGUAGCAGCCAUGGAAAGAAAUAGGCGAAUGGAAGUUAACUUGGCAACCGGAGAGAAUGUAUCUGAAUAAUCAGUGCCAUAGAUUUGAGCAUAACCUUUGGCAACAAGGCGAGCCUUUAAACGAGCCACUGUUCCAUCAGGAUUCAUCUUGACAGCAAACACCCAUUUACAACCAAUGGCCUUCUUUCCUGCAGGACGAGAUACCAAAUCCCAAGUAUCAUUAUCAUCUAAAGCAGUCAUCUCCUCAAUCAUUGCAUUUUGCCAGCGAGGAUGAGACAAAGCUUCAUGAACAGAGUUAGGAAUAGAUGUGGACUCAAGAGACGUAAUAAACGCAUAUGUGGAGGGAGAUAACUGGUGAUAGGAAAUAAAGGAAGAAACGGGGUAAGUACACUUGCGUUUACCUUUGCGAAGAGCAAUGGGAAGAUCAUCACUUGGCGCUGGAUCACAUGAUGAAGGAAGCAUUGAUGGAGGACAUGAGUCUGAAGGUUGUGGUGGAGGUCGUCGGGAGUAGACUUGAGAAAUCAACGGGCGGGAAGGAGGCACAUCAGUAGACAAGGAUGGUGUGGGAGAGGUAACCUCAUAUAUAAAAAGAUUGUCAUCCUCCCCCUGACACAAACUCGAUGGUGAUGAAGUAAAGGGUGUAUCUUCAAAAAAGACAACAUCAGGCGAAACCAGAUACCUUUUAAGGGUAGGACAAUAACAACGAUAACCCUUUUGAACACGUGAAUAACCCAAGAAGAUACACUUCAAGGAUUUGGGAUCUAACUUAGUAUGAUGAGGACGAACGUCACGAACAAAAGACACAACCAAAUAUCUUAGGAGCAAUAGGAAACAAAUGCUUGGUAGGAAAAAGAACACGAUAGGGAAUCUCACCAUUAAGAACAGAGGAAGACAUUCUAUUAAUCAAAAAACAAGCUGUAGAGACAGCAUCAACCCAAAAGAUUUUUGAAACAUGCAUUUGAAACGAUAAAGCACGGGCAGUUUCAAGUAAAUGCCUAUUUUUUCGCGCAACACCAUUUUGAGAUGGAGUGUCAGCACAGGAAGAUUGAUGAAUAAUGCCAUUUUCACACAAGUAAGAGCCAAGAGAAUGAGAAAAAUAUUCACCCGCAUUAUCAGUACGCAAAGUUUUGAUAGAGACAUUAAAUUGGUUUUUUAUUUCAGUAUGAAAGGCACAAAAAUGAGAUAAUAACUCAGAACGAUUUUUCAUUAAAUAUAACCAAGUUAGACGAGAAUGAUCGUCAACAAAAGUAACAAAAUAACGAAAGCCUGUUUGAGAUACAACUGGACACGGACCCCAAAUAUCAGAAUGAACUAACUCAAAUGGAGCAAUUGCUCGUUUAUCGACUCGAGGACUCGAACUAAGACGAUGAAAUUUCGCAAAUUGACACGAAUCACAAUUUAAAGAGGACAAAGACCUAAAUUCUGGAUAAAGUUUCUUCAACACGAACAAAGAUGGAUGACCUAAACGACAAUGGACUUCAAAAGGAGAGGGAACGACAGGACACGCCACAGCUUGCGAUACUUGAUGAUCAAAGAGAUAAAGGCCUCCUGACUCAUAUCCUCUACCAAUAAUCUUCUUCGUCACACGAUCCUGAAACAAGCAAUAACCAGAAAAGAACAUGACAACACAAUUUAGGUCAUGAGUAAGUUGACUAGUAGAAAUUAAAUUAAAGGAUAAGUUAGGCAAAUGUAACACAGAAGAGAGAAAAUGAUGGGGUAAGGUGAAUAGUGCCAGAGCCAAGAACAGAAGAUGUGGAGCCAUCGGCCAAUGUAACCGAUGGAAAAGGGGCAGGGGACAACGGUCUAGAAAAUAGGUGAGAAUUACCUGUCAUAUGAGCUGUGGCACCAGAGUCUAUGACCCAUUUGGUAGAUGAUGUAAGAAGACACUUUAUAUUACCUGGGGCAACAGUGGAUGCAAUCGGAGUAGAGGAAGAUGACGCUUGUAAUGACUCUUGGUAAUUCUGAAACUUAGCAAACUCAUCUGCCGAAAUAGUAACUGACGCCUCUGGUAUAUCACAUGUGGAGGCUAUCUGAGCAUGUUGAGAUCGUUGACUAUUCUUAUAUAGCAAUUUCCGACAAUCACGUUUCAUAUGGCCUGGCUUACGACAGUAGUUACAAACAAUCUCUACAGACUCUGGUUUUCGAUGAUCAGUACUAUUCCUCUGAGGUGCCCGAGGGUUAUUGUUCUUGCUAAAGAGAGCACUACUGGGUUGAGGAAUAGACACACUAGUCGGAGAGCUUUCAAUGCGAAGGACUCGAGUGAAGGCAUCAUCUAAUGAUGGAAUCUUGGAGUCAGAGAGAAUCUGUGUCUUUGCCAUUCCAAAUUCAGGUAAGAGUCCAUUCAGGAAAAUCAUAACAGCCAUCUUCUCUCGUUGAACUUGUUGAACUUUAACAUCAGGACUAAAAGGUAACAACAAGCCAACUCGGCAAUGAUCUUCUUAAGACGCAUAAAGUAGCUGGUGACAGACUCAGCUUUCUGUUCCGCACGAGAAAAUUGCAUACAAACUUCAAACAUUCUAUGCACUUGCUCUUUACCUGAGUAUAGAAAAUCCAAAAAUUCCAAAAGUUCUUUAACAGACUCACAGUGAUCAACCAAUCCAAUUAUCUCACUCUCAAUUGAAUUCUUGAUCUGAAGAUAUAAACGGGCAUCAUCACGAAGCCAAUCCUUCUUCUGCUUUGCAUCUUUUGGGGGAUCUUCAGUCAUAUGAUCAUCCAUAUCAGUACUUCUCAAAUAAAAUAAAAUUGUCCGACGCCAAUCGUAAUAAUUGGAUCCAUUUAACUUAUGUUCUGUGAUCUUAGAGGCCAAGGGAAUAACGUUGGAGACUACCAAAUUUUUUAUGUCGGCCAUAUUGAAGUCACACGUUGAUUGUAGUCCACUCGAACAAAGAGAAAAUCAAUCCAAACAGCUGCAAAAUUGGAAAAAGACACAAAACCAAUCGUGUAACCUUCGGUUUUCGUCAAACCCGAAUGUUAUUUGAUAGACCCAAUGGUACAGACUGGCAGGAAACAAUGGUUCGAGACAAGCCCAGAAGACAGAAGACAAAUCGGACUUCUCACGCGCUCUCACGCGCCUGUGUGGAUGAAGGUGACGAUGAUUCCGGCGGCGCGUGACGGUCACGCGCGGUGUUUUCCGGCGAUCGGCGAAGACAGACUUGGGCGGACGGAGGUGGUGCUUCUUAUGGUAUGGGCGGUGUCGACAAAUGGUCACCGGAAGGUAACCCAAACUUCAAACCUAAUGGAGGGCUCUGAUACCAUGUAAUUUAGAAUUCAGAAACGUAUCUGUCUUAUUAUUUGUUAAGUCAAAGCAAUGUUACAUAUUUAUAUAGAGAAUAAACUAAACCCUAGAGACUAUGUAAAAUUACAAUAAAGGACAUAUAUUACAUAAUAAUAUAUAUAUAUCAUAACAAGGGCCUCCCCUAUCCUUAUUCAUUGAUCGCUCUCUUUGCCGCGAAUCUCGGCAUGGUGGUUCUUCGCCUCGCAAUAUUCUUUGCUCCUCCUUCCUGGGCUUGAUUGGUACAUCAAGCAUAUCGGCAUUUUGCUUCUUCGGUGUGGUACAUAUAUCUAUCAAUGAAAAGAAAGUAAUAGAAUUCAUUCCCGCGUACUCGCAUAUUGAAUUGCGCCUUCGGACCAUCAAAGAAAGGUCCAGGGUCCGAAGUCCGCUGGAUUUAUCCGGAGUCCAGAGAAUUUAUCCGUAGGACCAUCCAUAUGGAGGGAAGUAGUCCGGAGGAUGUUGGAAUUUUUUGUCCUAAAACUCGUAGUUUAUAAAUCAUAUUCUGUUCAAUAAAGUUGUUAUUGAGAAAUUAAAUAUUAUAAUCUUAAAUCCAAUAAAUCAAGUUCCAAGGCUAUUUUUGAAUAAACUUGAACUUUAUGUGUAAACAUAAACGUGGAUCAAGUUCGAGUAUAUAGCCUAAAUAGUCUAUAGUAUAUGAAAUAAAGGUUGGGUGCCUUAUUUAGGGAAACUAUGGAUGCGGUCCACUUUGUGGUACAAACGAGGUGAUCCUAAUCGUUCAUGUAGAGACAUGAAAGUGAGGGCAUUCUAUGUAAAAUGUUUACAUAAGACUGAACCAUGAAUUAGUUUUUUUUACGUUAUAACACCGUUUACUGUUUAAAACUGACUAUCUCAACAUUUUGACUUUUUACUAAGAAAAGUCAAAGUUUGACUUUUGACUAGAAAUAUCUAAUGACCAUUUUACCCUUGGACUAAGUUAGUGGGAAAAUCCAACAUUUUGUUGGAUAAUCCCACUAACUCUUAGUGGGAUAUGUGGCUAUAUGAGAUAUAGACACCUAGCCCACUAAGUUCCACUAAUUGUUAGUGGAACAUUUGGUGUUGAGAUUUGGCAAAAUGAAUUGCAUGCAUUUUUGCAUGUAAUUAGGUUAUAAAUAGAGGUGUUUUCAAAUGUUGAAGAACUUUUGCCUCUUUUAUCAUUUUCAUCAUCUCAACCAAAUAAAAAAAAAGGAAACCUUCCAAUCCCAUUUUAUCUCCAUUACUUUCUACACCAAAAUUGGGUCCCACAACCCGGUUCUUUGUCUAGAGGAUAGCAGUUGAGUACUAGUGGUGGUCUCGGUUAGAAUUGGUAAGAAGAUAUCAAACCUUUUGAAAGCUUCAAAGGUAAUAUUUCCUAAAACCCUAAUUUGAUUAAUUUAUGGUUACAUGUUAAUUGUGGCAAUUAGGGUAGAAAUUCGAUUUUUUUUCCGCUGUGCAUGACUUAGUUCUAUCAGAGGAUUUAUUCGUAGGACCAUCCGUAAUUAACAGAAAUAGGACUAUCCAUUAUCCUCCGUCCGGAGUCCGCAGGAUACUUAUCCGUAGGACUAUCCGUAAUUAACCGAAGUAGUCCUCCAGAAUUUCUGUAAUUAACCGAACUUUGCACCUCUUGACUAUGAAUCAUAUAUAUUGAUUUUGACCGGAGCAAAGAUCAUUGCCCACGGAGCGGCGCAAAGAAUAUUGCGACCUGUGGAUUCAUUGAGGCGGUGAAGAAUUGCCAUUUUAUGAGCUUGUAAAACCCCUCCGGAGGAGAAGGAUAGGGGAGCAAGGUUCAAAGUGGUUUUCAAAGUCAGAGCUAUCCCUUAUUAUUGAGGGCUUUGACCACCUGGACACUUACCUACUCAGUCGCAAGGAUCAAAGAAUUUGAUUGACAAAGAAUAUUGCGAUUUUACCGAGUCCUUCGUCUCGCAAUAUUCUUUGCGCCUUCGAUGAGUCAGGUUAAUAUGGAUAAGUCCUUCGGACUGAUAGCGUCCAAAAAAUAGGCGAGGGCGGGCGGGCUAUAAGUAGGCCGUUUGCUAUUGCUAUAAGGGCUGCUCGCCUUUAUACGGCUUGGCUUCGCUAUCGCUCAUGACUUGUAUUUGUGGUCGGCCUAAAAAGUAGUCUUCCUACCAUAAAAAAAUGCCUAUUAUCUAGUUCGUUAAGCUUCGCCAAAAGCAAGAUGAGGGCGCUUUGCUUCGUAGACAAGGCUCGUCUAGUACUUGACUUACGAGUUCGUGUAGGACUUCCCCCUCUCUCUAAAGGGGCUUAUGCACAGAACUCCUUGUCUACUAAAGAAGCGUUCGAGCGAGCGAGUUCAGCCUGAAAUUGAGUGGUCUCCCUCCUUUUCCCUCACUGAGAUAUUAUGUCUUUCAUUUCCACUUAAGCUUCCCCGCUUUGAGGGAUUAAUUGAUUGGAUACCCGAGAACCAUAAUCUUUCCUAGGAACUGCUUCUACGACGAUAGGUGUAAAGGCAUGAUUAGUUCCACAAAUCUCACUGCACUGACCAUAGUAAACUCCUUCUCAUUGUACCAAAAUGGAGAUCUGAUUUAAACGACCAGGUACAACAUCACAUUUGACACUUGAGGAAGGUACAACCCAACUAUGAGGUAGAUCAGCAGGUGUUACAAUAAUACGUAGAUGAGUUUUGGCUGGUAGAACCACUCUAUUGUCCACUUCUAAUAAACGUGAUUGACCCAAUUCUAGAUCAUCUUCUGGAAUCGUAUAACUGUCAAAAGUGAGUGACUGUUCAUCGGAACUGUUAUAGUCAGAAUACUCAUAAGUCCGAUACCAUUGAUGUCCAAUAGCUUUGAUAGUCAUGGCUGGAUCUACUACUACCUCGUCCAUUGAGUAUAAGAGAGCAAAGGAUGAUAUAGCAAUGAACACCGGAAUGAUACUAGGAAAAAUGGUCCAAAGAAUCUCGAUAGUAGUUCCAUGAACUAUCCUUUGCGGUAUUUUCUUUUUAGAAUAGUGGAAAUGCCAUAAAGCGCGAACCAAAAUCCGUGAUACGAAAACAAAAAUCAAAAUGAGGAAGAAAAAGAUAUCGUGAUGUAUGUCUAUUAUUCCUUGCAUCAUAGGUGUUGCUGUGUCUUGAGAUCCUAAUUGCCAUGGUUCCGCUGCAUCACAAGGAGCAAUUGUGAGGAAUAGCCAUUUGAGAACAAUCAUUUUCUUUGGUUUAUUCUUUGACUGCUCUGCUCCCCCCCCCAAAAAAAGAGAGACUUGUUCUUGCUCUCCCAAUGAAGGAAGACGGAAAUCGCCGGUUGGGUUGGUCCAACCAAGAAAGGCAUGGGAUGGGCAUUGCUUGGGCCGAGUUAAGUAUGGCUACCUAUUACUCCUCACUGCACACUUGAAAUAUCUCUUGAUACUCCCCCCUCUUUCUUACAACUAGUUGCUGCAUGCUAUCGGAUCUCGAGCAAUGGGAGGUUACAAUUGAGAAUCCACACUCUCAUUACAUUACAUUUUGAUGUCGAAAAGGUCUUUUGGGCAAUGAGCAUUCCUUAUGGGCGUAUCCGUUCUCUAUUUAGAGAAAUUCUUAGAGCGGUGCAGUUUAUGCAUGGCGAAAGGGAGCAUUGGAAGGGUCUUAGCUCCAGAAUAUGAAGACGAAUGAAUAAGGAAGAUCAGAUUCAAGGAAUAAGAGGACAAAGGCUCGAUAGGAGGAAAUGAAUAAGGGGUCCGACGGAGCCUUCGGAGUACUAUAAAGAGGAAAGCCUAGACUGAUCGAUGUUCUUGGUAGGAACAUCCAUAAAUCAGGGGAGGGAGAUCGAGUUUCAAACCUUUAUACACAAAACUGAAACUCAAAAUUCACUUCCUUCCUUCCGCAAGGCCGAUAUCUUUCAUAGCAGGCAAGGAUGAGUCCAUUAGGUUCUUCGAUUGAUUCGGAAAAGAAAUGAGAGACAAGAAAAGAUCUUUGAUGGAGAUGAAAAGGAAGAAUCUCAAAUAGACCAAGAUCCAAUUUCGGGUCAUUUCUUGGUGAACAUGAUCUGCCAUAAUCUCUUCGAUCCCUGAAUUUAUGUGCCAGAAUAAAGAGAGAUUUGGUAGGAAAGUGGAAGAGACCUUGUGGUAUAUAAUAAUGAGAGGGAGUGGGAAAGCUGCUGUAAUUCUUUGGAAAAGCCCGGUUCUCUUUGUCUUCGAGCUUGAAUUCCUCAAUCCACUCUUUCGUUCUUUCAUAUACCUCCCCACCAAUAGAUAGAGACAAAUAGGAAUAACCGAACCACGUCUACAAAAUGCCAGUACCAUGCAGCUGCUUCAAAGCCAACGUGAUGCUCCUUGGUCAGAUGACCAAGAUAUUGGCGAAUACCACAUACGAUCAAGAAAAGAGUACCUAUAAUCACAUGAAAACCAUGAAAGCUAGUUGCUAAGAAAAAG
Molecule: long non-coding RNA, 47648 nt
Filed under: Cucumis sativus (cucumber)
Lineage: Eukaryota; Viridiplantae; Streptophyta; Magnoliopsida; Cucurbitales; Cucurbitaceae
Description: long non-coding RNA (CSAT_LNC001903)
Source: RNAcentral